RNAcentral lists this long non-coding RNA (64202 nucleotides) under Vitis vinifera (wine grape). RNAcentral describes it as "long non-coding RNA (VVIN_LNC006100)". The record is from RNAcentral. Lineage: Eukaryota; Viridiplantae; Streptophyta; Magnoliopsida; Vitales; Vitaceae.
UCAGUUUUUUUCCACUCUUUAUAUAUGCCAUACCGUCCACGGGUUUCGUUCAUAAUGGUCUCUUUCAGUUAAACCAGAAACCAAAGCACCAAUUAAGAGAGAGAGAGAGAGAGAGAGAGAGAGAGAGAGGGAGAGGGUCAUGCAUCUCUUCUGAUUUAACAAGAAAUAUGAUUUCCCUUUUUCUUCUGGUUUAAAACCUAACCAGUUUGGUUUGCGUUAGGGUUCUUUUUAUUAUUAAAGGGCUGUCGAGUGUGCGAAGAGAAUAGUUUUGCUUUGGCGUUUGUUCGUGAUUUUUUGGUAGCGGUUGGCAUGGCUGUUGAUGCACAGUAUUAUUCUGAAAGUAUGGGUUUGGCCAUGUGUGGCGUACAGGAUUGGUGGGUGAACCCCGUUUCUUCUUCUGGGCUUGACGUUGAUGCUUCCAAUUUCAAUCCGCAGCAACUGCCUCAGGUUCAUCAUCUUCAUAACCACUACAGCAUUCAGGAUCUCUGUGUUGACGAUAACACGAGUCCAAAUCCCUUCCCCUCUUCUUCAAGCAGUGAUAAGCUUCUCCCAAUGGCGUUCUCUCAAUCUUUGGCCGAUCAGCUUGAGACCCAGAGACUCGAAAUCGAUUGGCUUCUUCAUUUUCAGGUCAGAAACAAUGUCUAUUCUUUUAAUAAGGGGUUUCUUUUUUUCUUUUUCUUUUUUUUUUUCUUUUUGUGUUUUCUUUGAAUUUGAGUUUUGUUGAUAUUUUGUGCAAUAGCUUGAGAGAUUGAAAUUUGCUUUACAAGAACAACGAAAGCAACAACUGGGGUCGCUGUUGAACAGAUUGGAAUCAAAGACUAUAACCCUAAUGAGACAAAAGGAGGAAGACUUGGCAAGAGCGACGAAGAAGAUGAUGGAGCUGGAAGAUUGGUUGAGAAGGAGAGAAGUGGAAAGCCAAGGAUGGCAGCGAGUGGCGACAGAGAACGAAGCGAUGGUCAAAUAUCUAAACAACAUGCUGGAACAGGUCAGAGAAACGCACUUAUUGCUGAGCAACGGAGCCGAAGAUGCAGAGUCGUAUGGGGGUGGUCCCAUUGACAGAAGAGAGGACGAAGGCAGGGGAAGAGACAGAGGAGAAGGAGGAGAAGAAGUGAAAGACCAGUGCAAAAAGAUGGCAUGCAAACGCUGUAAUUCUCGGACCUCGUGCUUUCUUUUCUUCCCUUGCAGACACCUUUGUUCGUGCAAGUCUUGUGAGCCCCUUCUUGGUUGCUGCCCAGUCUGUAAAUCUGUAAAGGAGGCAAGCAUGGAGGUUUUCUUGGUCUAAGAAGAAGAUUAAAAGAGAAAAAAUGAAAAGAAAAAGGCCCAAGCAAUGGAAAAAACAGAAAAGAAAAAAAAAAAAAAAAAAAAAAGGAAAGGAAAAUUUUUUGGGAAGAACACUUUUUGGAUUCCUUUACGGUGUUCAUGGCGUUCCUCAUUUUCUUUUUCCGGGCUCUCUGAUAUCAAUUUUUUUUGGCGUACAACGGACGGCCCAUCUCAAUCGAAAUGAUGAUGAUGAUAGCAGUAGCAUUGUGAAAUUGCAGGAUGAGAAUCUCGGUGCCUUUUCCUUUUCUGGCUUUAUUAAUUUUCCUGAUUUAGCGAUAGAGACUGAUUUGCACCUUUUCUUUUUCUCUUGUUAUUUUGUUUCUCUUUCUGUUGUGGUUUACAAGGAGAAGAAAUUGGCAGCUCCCUUAGCCGUAACAGUGUCCUGUUAACUGACACCCGAGAUUUGAAAGCAAAGCUGUCAUUUAUCAUGGAACCGCCAUUACAGGCUGAUCCCUCUCCCCCUCCCUCUCCCUCUCCCUCUCCCUGUCUCUCUUUUGAUUUAGACUGCCACAAUUAAUUUUCUUUUUGAACAAAUCAAUUUCAAAUCAGGAACUGGGUUUUUUCUUUUAUGAGAAUUAAAGUACGAUAUUUUUGGGUCUUUGCUGUAAUUCUUAUUAAUAUUUUAUACGUUUUAUAUUGAAUGUUCUUUAUCCAAAUACGUAUAGAUUUUAUUUAAGUUAAUCGAAUAAUAGCACUGGAAACUGGUGUGUUUGUACUCGUGGGACACGUGUUAAAAGGCAAAUGAAGAUGUGGCAGUGGGCCGGGUCCCACUUGAUUUGGAGGUAGGACCCCACCAAGCAGGUUUUUCAUUUUUUGCGGAAAUAACCUUUUCCGAGGGAGUAUUGGUUCCCUUGCUUCAUGCUCAAUCUUCCGCUGGGUGCGGAUCCUUUGCCGUACGCGUGGAUGAUGUCCACCUGGACGGCCUCGAUGCUCUGCCCCUCCGUCCCUUCACUUGACUAUAUCUGAUUGCGGUGGACAGUAGCGGAUUUGGACCGAUUGUUGGCGCGACUUACUCAUUGUUGUCUUUUGGAGCAUUUUGAUCUCGUUUCUGACCCCUUCCAUUUAUGAAAUAUCGGCAUAUUUGUUUUACAUUUUUUACAUAAAAAAUUAAAAUAUAUUUUAUUUUAUUUAAAGACAUUUAUCACCCAUUUUUUAAUUUUUAAUUUUUCAAAUAUAAACUAUCAUAUAAUAAAAUAACAAUAAACUAUAGUCCAUAAAUAUUAUCUAUAAAUUAAAAUUGUAAUUUUUUUUUCUUUUCCUCUCAAAAUCUUCAUAUCAUUUAAAUAUCUUCAUCCCAAUUUCUAACAUCAUAUUCCACUUAGAAUUAUUUUCCACUUCAAAAUAAAAUGUUUUAAUUUUUUUAAUUGAAAAAAUAAAUCAUUAGUCAUAAUUUUUCCUUAUAGGAUAAAUUAUUCUCCAUCAUGGGACAUUAUGGACGAUGAUUUUUACAAAGAAAAAGACAUUUUAUUUUGAUUAUUUAUUUAACUAUAUAAUGAGUGAAGAGUUAUUAUAAAUAUCUUGUUGAAAAAUGAAAAAUUAAGUCUUGGUAACAGUUUUUUAAAAUAGUUUUAAAAAUGAUUUUAUAAUGUUUUAUGAGCCAAAAGUUUAUUUGUGAAUUUGAAUUGUUUUUUACAUAUUUUUAAAUAAUUUUAUAUUUAAAACUUUAUUUUUAAUCAUUAUUUAUAUUUAUAUAAUUAUUUUUUAAACAAUUCUAAAAAAUUAAUUAAAAGAUGUUAUUUAAAAAUACCAUAUUUUCUAUUAUUAAUAAUAAAAAAUAUAAAACAUUUUUAUGGUUAUUAACCAAGUUUUUCAAUUUUUUUUAUUUGGAAAACUAAAAAAUUAUUCUAAAAAAAUAGUUGUUAAAUGAGUUUUUAGUUUUAUGUUUUUUUUAAUAAUAGAAGUUUUCAGAAAUCAAUUUCAAUAAUUUUCUAUUUGAUUUAUCGUGAAAUAUAAAAAAAUAUGAAAAUUUUAGAUAUUUAAUUUAUUAUAAAUAGUAAAUAUAUAAGAUUUAUUUAAGAAAGUAUAAAUUAUAAAAUUUUAUUUCUUUAUAUAAAAUAUAAAAGUUACUAUUUAUUAUAAAUAGUAACUGGUAAAUUUUCUCUUUCCUUGGAGCACAAAGGAAUCGGAAUGAAAUUAAUCUUCUAUAUUUUUCAAGAAAAAAAAUAAUUGAUACUCAUAGAUUUUUAGUGUUUUUCAAUCAAUCAAUUCAUUGCUUUUUGUCUUAUUAAAGCUAGGUGUUAAGUCUGAAUUCAAAGAGAAGAGAGUGCAUCCCAAGCUGGAUUUUUCAAAUCAUUGAAACUAUAAAAUCACCCAAAAAUUUAAAUUUAUAAGAUAAUUAUUACUUAUUUUCUAAUUUAUUUACCAAUUUCUUAAAUGAUAUAUGAAAAAUUAGUUUCGAUUUUUAAAUAAUUAUAAUUUUUUUGGACUGAGAAAGAUUAGAUCUUGCGGGGUAUCAGAGUCCGCAUCUCUAUGAUCCUAUGAUUGGCAAAUAUCAAGCACGGAAAGUUUCGUCUACGUAAUCCAUACGCAAGAAGUCCCCGGUUUUUCAAUAUUCUUUUUUUUUUUUUCUUUCUGCGUGGGAAAGAAGGUGAAGAAAUAUAGCAAGCAGAGAGUUGUUCUGUUGGUGCUUCGUCUCUCUUCCUCUGGUUGCGAAAGCCUAAUUCGGAGAUAGCAAUGCAACAGGGAGAUUACAAUUCUGUUUCCUAUUAUCAAUAUCAACACCCUCAAAACCCUAACCCCAACCCUAUCCCCAAUCCUAAUUCGAUUCCGAUCGAUCCCCAGCCAAAUCCUUCGCCUUCGACCUACGCUUCUGCGCCUCCGUUUACCACUAGUUAUUCUCCCUCCGAUUACUCUGUUUAUACCCCCGCGUAUCCUCCAUAUCCGCAAAAUCCCGAGCCUGUCCCCAAUAUCCCUCCCACGGCUCCUUCAUAUUCUCCGAGCCCUAAUUUGCAGUCAUUCAAUCCAUCGCCUCAGCCGUCGUCUUUUCCUCCUUUCGAAGCUCAGGGUUCGUAUCAACCUCCGGCGCAGCAGCCUCCGUAUCAUCCACAGUACGAUCAACAUCUGACGGCUCCCAAUUUCUCCAACCCUAUUCCCAAUUCCAAUGCUAAUCCGUCGUACGCAAAUCCUCCUGCCUACUCGGCUUCGUACAGCCACGUAGGCUCUUCCGUGCCGCCCGUUUACGAGAACCCGUAUGAGACUACUCCAAAAUUUGAUCAAACUGGCGGAUAUUUUGAUGAAACUUCGGGUAGAUAUGGAGGCUAUAGCCGGACACGGUCCGAUUUAGGAUCCGAAAUGUAUUCGAAGAGAUCGGAUAGUGGGGUGUCGUCGAGGUACGAUCUAGGUUCAAUUCGAGAUGAUGGGUAUGGUGAUGGAGUGUAUGCUUACGAAGGGAGCAAGGUGGAGCCCUAUGGUGCAAGAGGCACAGCUCCAAAGUCGUCGACUUGGGUGGGUUUUGAUGAUUACGGGAGGUCAAUCAGUUUUCCUUCUGGUAAAGACCAGCCAUCUGCCAAGAUCGUGAGAGCAGUGCCCAAGGCGGAGACCCAGCAAGAUGUAAAGAGCGGGGUGCAGAAGUUUCGGGUCAAGCUAUUGUCUGAAGGUGGAGGACAGAGCUCCAUGGAUGUUCUUUGUCAGGUUCGUAUGGAUUUGCUUAUCUCAUUGUUAUUUUAGUCAUAUUGGAAUUGAUGAGGACGAGAAUGUGGCGUGGUCUAUGAAUCCUUCGUUGAACAAGCAUCAUUAUUAGUAGAUAGAUUGAUCAUAUUGGUUAGUUGAAUGGCAUUGGGUUAUUUACUUUAUUCAUAGAUCUAAGAUGUCACAGAGAACUUCCUAGGAAUUUCUAAGCUCGCUUUAACAGAUUUGCUUUAUGAUUUAUGUUUUAUUUCUUUGUUUUAUCAAUUUUUGCCAUGGACUUAUUUAUUGUUUAGACCUAUCUGAAACUUUUUCAUCUGAACUGAAUUCAAUUUUUUGUCAAUUGCCUAACUGGUAAAUCUGCUUGUUAUUAAGUUUAUAACGUCCCAUCUAUAAUUAAGACCUCUUCUUUGGAACUAAGGAUCCAUACUCUUUAUAUGUAUUAGUUUUGGUUCUGAUGUCCUAUCCUGCUAAAACCUCUGAUUACCAAUGUCACAAGAUUUUUGCCCAUUUUGGACUUUGGAUGUAAGAAGAAUGAGGGAAGGGAAAGGAAAGGAAAUACCAAAAUAGAUUGUCUUUUUUUGUUGAACAAUAAUCUGCAUUUUACUUUCUGAUCCCCUUAUUCUUUUGAAGAACAGAGCCUUAUUUUGGUUCCAUUUUCCAUUUGCCAAAAUUUUUAUUUUUUGUUUUUUAGAACGCUAAUUGACUUAUGGGGCUUGUUGAUGUAGACCAAUCAAAUGGAUGUGAUGCAUUUGCAUGCUUCCUUUGGAGGAAUGAAUGUGUAUAGUUAUUUAUGUUAAAAAAACUUGAGUUUGGAAUGCUUUCAUCAUAGUAUAUAAUAUAAGUGCCAAGUUUUGUUUUGCUUCUUUCUCCUUUUUAUUGCAUAUUUACUAAUUUUUUUACUCACCUUUUGAUUUAUGAUUUUCAUCUCAGAUUGGUUUGGAUGGAAUUCGUAUGCUUGAACCCAGCACUAGUCGAACAUUGAGAAUAUAUCCACUUGAGACAAUAACAAGAUGUGAAGUGAGUUGGUUGCUUCCCUUUUUUUGGAUUUCCCUCUACUGUCUUAGUUUUUAGCACUAUAUUUUGUUAUGGUAUACUAUGGUGGAUAUGUAGCAUUAUCUUGAAAUGUUUUCUCUUUUUGUUCAGGUCACUGACUCAUCCACUUUUGCAUUUUGGUCCAAAAGUUCUGUGGAUAUUGAACCAAGACGGAUCAGGCUGCAAUCAAAUAGCUAUACCACUAAUACUAUUUUGGACACAGUGACAGCUGCAACCGUGCAGGUUGUUUUCCUAGUUCAUUGAUGAUUAAUAAAAAAUUAUAUAAAUAUAUAUGAUGCCUUAGAGUUCAGUUAUACAUGCAUGUGUUUAUAAUUUUGAAGGACCAGUUUGGGAAACCUUGAAGUUCACUUUAGACCCUUUAAAAGAUUGUUUCAUUGUCUGUAAUCUUGGGGUAGUUCUCAAAUUCAUUAUCAUUUGUGUCUGUGUGAACUUCACGGGCAUUUUUUGUUUGAAUAUUAUUUAAAAGAUACAACAAUUUGAACUACCCUUAAAUUUUUUUACCCCCUUUAAGAAAACUCAUGAUACGAGUGAUAUGCAUUGCGAAAUCUAUAAUGUUAGAAAACAGUAUGAAGGGAUAGAAAGAGAAUGUUUUGUUAUCUCUGUGUUAAUUGAGUAACUUUUGUUGUGGGUGUCUCUUUUUUGACCAAGCUCCUAUGUGAACUUUGAUCAUGUCUUCUACUUGUUGCGCAUGGACAUCUAAGCUAGAGGGAGGAACUACUCUGCAGCAUUCAGUUAUUUGUAAUUUUUGCUAAUAGAUUUUUUCUUCUUCUAAAUAUAGAUUAAGGAGAUGGGUGGUAGAAGCAGGCCUUCCGAAUCUUUAAAGACAACUGAGCAACCUACCGAGAAGAAGAAAGGUUUUGCUGACUGGAUGAACAUAAUAAAGCCUGGAAAUGAGGAGAAAGAUCAUUGGGUAUGUUGAAAUUCUUGAGAUGGUAUCAUUUUAAUUGUGCAUUUCUUAUUAAAAUGGCCAUGAUAUUGUUGUAAAUUUGUAUUUGCUUAUAUGCAUUGUGAAAGUAUGGAAUGAGUGUGUUUUGUUGUGGGGUUCUUUUAUUGUUCUUAUGCUUAUUAGGUGUCUAUGUACUUGAAAUUAUUAACUUUUCAUGAUUAGUAUAUUUGAAGGAAGAAAGAAGUCUUCCUCAAGGGAGAUAAUCACCCUCUUUAGUCAUCUACUUCUUUCUUCUCCACUCUCUUUUAUGAACAUAGCCUUUCGUGAGAUGAAAUUCUAGAUGUCUGUUUUAUCAAAUUGGCUAUUCAAAAUGUUUUUGAGUGAUUAAUGCUUGCGUCAUUACAGAUUUAGAAAAAAUUUGCAAAAUAUAGGCUUAGUGCAUGAAAUAAACCUUUAGGCUAGAACAUGAGAUUGUGUAUAUACAAAUAAUAUCAUUUUCUUUUCAGGGUAAGCAAUGUCAUGAGUCCUAUGAUGCUACUACAUGUCAAUUCUAUGUGAGUCAUAAACAAAUAAUUUUUUUUGAUAGGCAAAUAAAGCAAGCAUAAUAUUAAAAAAAGUGCCAAAAUUAGUGCACCAGAGUACAUAGGACAUAUACAACGGUCAUUGAAAGGCACAAUGAAACAAGAUGAAACAUAAAAAACCACUCUCCCUUAAUGUGAACUCAACCAAUCAGCAAAAUCAAUUAAAAAUAUUGGACCGCCAUUUAUGUAUAGCUUCACCCACAAUGCAAGAUUACCAAGAACAUGUUUUUUAGUUUUUCAUAAGAAUGCUCCUCAUUUUCAAACGAUCUUUGAUUCAUUUUUUUUCGUAUUGUCUAAAAAAUGCACAAAGGUAUGACUUUCAACACCUUUCGUUUUUUCCCCACAAAGGAGUCAUGCUAUUUUGGGAUAGUCUCCGACCGUGGAAGAUAACACCCAAGAUACACCAAACAAGGAAAACAACAACUGUCAGCAUAACCCUUGUCUUGGCAGGGUGAAAGAGGAUAUGAAUGGGUUCUUCCUCGUCUUUACAAAGAAAACAUCUGCUUACCAUUGAUUGAAUUCCUGCCAUGCAUUUUUUAAUCUUAAAUUCAUGAAAUCACAUGAAGGAGAGCUGGAUGACUAAAUGAAUACAUAUGAUUAACAUGAUGUGGAAGAAAUUGGGAAUUGAUAGCAGAAGAUGGUCUCAAAAUGACGUAGAAACCUGUGAAAAAAUGAUGUUGAAAUAGGGAGUAACAUAAAAAUUUACAUGUCAUCCUCUACCCAAUCGGUUUUCGCUUUGGGGUGCUGAUGCUCGACUCAAGUGUGAGUUAUCUAAUUGUCCAAAGUUGGUGGAAUGAUUACUGUUGGGGUGCAAUAAUGCUGCUCUUAAGUCUGGGUAUGGGUCACCUAAAUGAUGGUUUUAGAAUAAGCCCGCAGGGUGUGAUGUUGAAUGCCAUAAAAGGUUUAGCCUAUUCUCAUUGAACACUAAUUGGUUUUUAGAUGAGAUGGUUAAAGCUCGAUCCAAGAAUUGGUAUUAGAGCCAAAGGUCAUGGAUUCGAGUCAUGGGAGCGUCAUGUUGGGGGAGGGAUUGUUGGGAUGCAACAAUGCUACUCUUAAGUCUGGGGAUAGGUCACCCAAAUGAUGGCUCUGAAAAGGUUUGGCCUACCCUCAUUGAACACCAAUUGAUUUUUAGACGAGUUGGUUAAAGCCCGAUCCGAGAAUUACAUUUCUUAUGGUGUUUGUUCAACUAACAUUCUUAGACCCUGUUUUUAAUUCCAAUAAUUGAAAAACAAAAAAAGGAGAAUCUUGGGAUGAUGGUUACUCAUAGUUUUAAAAGGCAUGCUUAAAGCUUGCCUAGGCUCAAGGUGCAAUCACUCCAUAGCUAUAGUGCCUUGCUUGCCAAGACAUGCGCCUUGUUGAAGAGGCUCGCCUUGUAUAUUUUACUUUUCAUUUUUAAACACUUUUUAUUCUUGAAAUUUUUAAUUGUAUAUUGAAAUUUAUAUAAUUUCAGUACUUUUUUUUAUUAAAUGUUUGAAAUUUUAAUUUUUUUGGUUGAUUAAAUUGGAUUUUGGAUCAUUUUUUAUAAAAUUGAUAUGCAUACUAGGUCGGGUUUCACUUCACUUAGGCGCACACCUUGUGUUGUGCCUUGCGCCUAAGCUAUAGGAUACUUUUGCGUCUUAGGUGAGCCUUGCGCCUUUUAAAACUAUGUGGUUACAUGAUAGAAAUGUCUGAAAUGUUAUGAACUAGGGAGUAUUUUAAACUAUUAAAGGUUGAAGCUUCUUCUGGAAUCCAGUGAGGUCGUGGAAGGUUAUCAGAAUUGACUGGAUGGUAUUUAGAAGCAGAUCUUGUUUCAUCAUGGAUAAUGGAAAAAGGGUAAAGUUUUGGAAAGAUGAUGCGAUGAAUGUGCUUUGGAAGUAGCCUGCCUGUUGUUAUUCUCUAUUGUCAUGCUAAAGACUCUUGGGUAGUUGGGAUGUGGGAACAGAUCAGGGGAGGAGGGCAUGGAGUCCCUACUUGUGUAGAUAACUUUAUUAUUGGGAAUUGGAAGAAGUGGAGCUUUAAGACCACAUUCAAGUUCAUUAAGGGAUGUUGAGGACUGGUUGAGCUUGAAGGAAACCAAGACUGGCAAUUUUUCUGUCAAAUAUUUCUACACUUUCCUAGCUCAGGGAAGAAGUGCAGCGUUAGUUUGAAGCCCAUGGGUGCCAACAAAAGUGAGUUUCUUUGCUCGGGAAACUAUUUGGGCAAGGAUCUUAAAGCUUGAUCAGCUUAGAAGAAGGGGAUGGAGUAUUCCGAACUGAUGUUACAUGUCUGAAUGGGAAGAAAGUUGGCUGGUCAGUUGCUCUUUCCCUGUUCCAAAGCAAUAAUCACAUGACAGCAGGGUUUUUCGCUGUUCAGAGUACUUUGGGUGAUGUAGACAUAUGUAAAAGGAAUUCUUCUGAAUUGGUAUGACUCUUUUGUGAGGAAGAAGCAGAAGAGAGCCUCGAGGGUCCCUCCUUUGUGUUUGUUUUGUAUUUUAUGAAAGGAAUAGGUGGUCAUUCGAAGAUGCAAAAUUAUGGGUUAAAGGAAUCAAAUCUUCCUUUUUAUGAAUUUUUUGGAUUAGAUUAGAGUCUAUAUAGAUGAUCCGCCUACGAUAGACUUUGUAGAUUGCUUGAGUACUAAGUAAGGAGAGAGAGAUUGUUUUUUGUUUUCUUUCUCCUGUUUUGCUUUCCUGAUUGGGGUUCUAUCUGUAUAUGUUGUGUCAGAGUGCACUCUUUUCAGGCACUUUUAAUAUAUUCUCCCAUUUUGCCUAUCAAAAGAAAAAAAGAAAAAAAAGAAGGGUUAAAGCUCCUUUCUUGGGUCUCAGUUUGUUUUAGAUAUAGCUUACCCAAUAUAUGGCUCAAACUUGGCGCUGGUAAAUUUUCAGAAGCUGUUUAUUUAAUUUAUUUUAAGUAUUUCUUACAGAAGUGUUUUCUAAACUAUGUGGAUGCAAGUUUAAAACAUAAACAGUUCCCGUUCUUAGAAAGAUUACGUGAAUGCUGAGCAAGCUUUAUAGGAAGCAAUCACAAUGCUCUCUUUGCUUACUUCCAAUUGUGAAAUAGGUGAUAAUUAAAUAAUUUUCUUUCAUGUACUGGUUUGGGAGAGUUUACUGAAAAAGAAUGGGUUCUUUCCCAACUUGUGAAUUGACUGAUCAUGUUUGAGUAGGGUAUAAUUAUUGUGCACUAUUAAUCCUCUAAAAAUUUAAUUUCUCAUUUUCCCCCGCCCUUUUGUUUUAAUUAAUUUCUCAGGUCCCUGAUGAAGCAGUUACCAAGUGUACAGCCUGUGGGACAGAUUUUGGGGCUUUUGUGCGUAGGGUAUGCCUUUACCUGUGGGUUAAGUGUUAAAUAAAAUUCAUGUUCUUAUGGAUAUUUCGCAUUUUUGGUAAACCUUGUAUUGUCUCUCUUUAUUUACAGCAUCACUGCCGGAAUUGCGGAGAUAUUUUCUGUGACAAGUGUACUCAUGGUAGAAUAGCUUUAACAGCUGAUGAGAGCGCUCAGCCAGUUCGAGUUUGUGAUCGAUGCAUGGUAUGCACUUAUAAUCCCUUUUUAUCAUUUUUCUUUGUAUCCCUUUCUACGUAAUUUCUAGUGUAAUAUUGGAUGAUUGCCCUAUAUCCAUUAAUAUUGGACAGUUUAAUGCACAAGAAAUAGAAUUGUAAUGAAGUACAUUUUAAUUUGCACUUGGGCAAACAGAUAGCUCCACUAAAACGGCAAUGUGGCAAUGUGAGUGUAUCUUUUGAUGUUGAGAGCAUUUUAGGUGAGAGCAUAGUUUUAAAAUGCACAAGGUGCACCUAAACCACAAAAGUCUCCUACAGCUUGGGCACAACACUAGGUGUGCUUUUGAGUGAAGUGAAAUGUGACCUAAGAUGCAUAUCAAUUUUAUAGUAUAUGAAUAUGAUAUCAAAUCUAAUUUAAUCAAGGAAAUAUUUUAUUUUCUAAACAGUUAAAAGAAGCAUAAAAAAAAUAAUAAUGAAAUUCCAUAAAUUUCAAUAUUCAGUUAGAAAUCUCAAGAAUAAAAAUAUGUAAAAAGGAAAAGUAAGUAGACUAGACACACUUCUCCCACAAGGUGGAUGCCUUGAUAAGCGAGGUGCUGUAACUAGGGAGUGGUUGCACCUUGGGCCUAGACCAAGCAUUAAGCACGUCUUCUAAAACUAUGUGUGAGAGCCAGAACUUGCUGCAUAAAAUGAAAUAAAGUAGUAGACAAAACUCCUCAUUUGGUAUGUUACCAAUAAAUUGAUUCACUGUUGGAUCAGUUUGGUUUCAUUUUGUUCUUUAAAAAUGCCCAGGUUGUUCUGGAAUGUUGCUGCUUCAUUUUUUCUGCUGUUGAUUUUUUAAGAAAAUCAAAUAGAGGAGGAGAAAAUACUGUUCUGAUGGCCUUGUUUUAUUUAAAAUGUAAUUAAAUUAAAUUCUUAUCAAUUAUAUUUAUAUUUCUAUUUAUCUCAUUAUAUUCAUUGCCCAUUGUAUAAAUACUGCUUUGUUCAUUACCGAUUUUAUAAAUACUCAAACACCCAUCGGGUAAACCCAUUACCUCAUUAUCCAAGACCCAUUUCUUCAUCCUCCCCGCCCUCUUCUUCUCUAUCAAACCCAUUUUUUUUUUCUUUCUCUGCAACUGGGUGAAUGAGAAUAAAACCAUCUGCGAUUGAUUUUCCUCAAGGCUCAAGUUCCAAGCUGCUUCUCCUUUUGAAUUGAUCCACGCCAUCUCCGAGUCAAACUUGGAUAUCUGUUUUGUGGCAGGCUUGGCCGAGGCUGAUACUUCAAACUCUGCUACAAGCAGCUGGCAGAGGAUAAGUCAUUGGCCUACAUCCGUCUAUCCUACCUAAACAGUAACCCUUUUCUUGUUUGUUUGCAAGGAGACUGAACUUCUCCAUCCUUUUCCACCCUUACUCAAGGCCAUAUGUUGUUGAAGGUUGAAGCACUGCCACCAGCCCAAUGUUUUUAGUUAUGCAACUACUGGGAUUACCAAACAUGUUACUAUUUUCAAAGACUAAAAACAAGACAAAAAAUCAGUUGUUUGGUCGUGUGUUUAGAAACAAAAAAACUGGGAAUGAUUAAAUGGACCAUCGAUGAAGUUGGUUCAGCAAUGAGACAUCACCUCUCAUUGGUUUUUCAAGCUUUUGAAAAGUGCAGGGGUUUGAGCAUUGUCAGGUUGAUUAAUGACCUAUCAUGAUUUUGUAAGCUUGAGAAAGAUUUAGGGGUUUGAAUGUUGCUAGGUUAAUUAAGGAUAUUUAGUUGUUCAACCUUGCAGAAGAGGACUUGCAUCUAGUCAUCCUUCUACUCAUGUCUGGUGCACACACUUGCAUAAACAUGUAUAUCUUAUAAAUAAAACCAACAUUAGGUUUAUUGAUGAGUUAUUAUGAUUUUGCAAGCUUGAGAAAGAUUUAGGGGUUUGUAUGUUGCUUGGUUGAUUAGGGACAUUUAGUCAUGUUAAACCUUUUAGAAAAGGACACACAACUAGUUAUUAGAGUUUUGGGUCAAAAUGACCCAUUUUUUAAACUUAACGUUGAAAACGGGCUCAUUUUCAAACUAUUGUUCAAAAUGGCCUCUUUGAUGCCACGUAGGCGCCACGUAAGGGUCUCCAACGGGCCGGCUGGGCGGGCUGCCCGGGUGGGUUUGGGUAAAAAUUAAAAUAGUUUUCAGUUUUGAAGGGAAGGGGAUUCGAAUCCCUUCCCUUAUGGAUCCAUAAGGGAGCUAGCCACCAAUUGAGCUAGUCCUCUUUUGUGUAAGUAUUUUGCAUUAGUUAUAUAUAUAUUAAAAACUCAUUUUAAUUAAGCCCAACAGCUGCAAUGGGAGGGCCUCGGUUUUUUGUAACAAUAAUUUACUCUCCUUGUAGCCAAUUCUCACCAACCAAACAUAGCAACAAAACACAAUCAACACAGCCACAAUCAACACAGCCCAACAAAAAAAAAUUCUAAAACCGAGAUUUUGAGGUGGGAAGAAAAAUUGGAAAGUGCCAAAAACUUUAUAUAAGCCAAAAAGAAGAUUAGGACUCACCUUAAACUUUUUUGUAGUUCCACCGUCUUUUUUAGUGGCCCACUGGUGAGGCUAGGGUUUACAAAAAAAAAUCGCACAGAGAGAUAGCAGAAUGGGAGAGAACAGAGCUCGGGGAUGGCCGGAGAAAAGGUAAAGUAAAAAGGGUAUAAAAUAUUGAUUUUAUGGGCUGAUGUGGCUUCAAAGGGCUAUUUUGAACAAUAGUUUCAAAAUCAGCCCGUUGUCAACUUUAAGUUUAAAAAGUGGGCCAUUUUGGCCCAAAAGUCNNNNNNNNNNNNNNNNNNNNNNNNNNNNNNNNNNNNNNNNNNNNNNNNNNNNNNNNNNNNNNNNNNNNNNNNNNNNNNNNNNNNNNNNNNNNNNNNNNNNGACUUUUGGGCCAAAAUGGCCCACUUUUUAAACUUAAAGUUGACAACGGGCUGAUUUUGAAACUAUUGUUCAAAAUAGCCCUUUGAAGCCACAUCAGCCCAUAAAAUCAAUAUUUUAUACCCUUUUUACUUCACCUUUUCUCCAGCCAUCCCCGAGCUCUGUUCUCUCCCAUUCUGCUAUCUCUCUGUGCGAUUUUUUUUUGUAAACCCUAGCCCCACCAGUGGGCCACUAAAAAAGACGGUGGAGCUACAAAAAAGUUUAAGGUGAGUCAUAAUCUUCUUUUUGGCUUAUAUAAAGUUUUUGGCACUUUUCAAUUUUUUUUCCCAUCUCAAAAUCUCGGUUUUUAGAAUUUUUUUUUGUUGGGCUGUGUUGAUUGUGGCUGUGUUGAUUGUGACUGUGUUGAUUGUGUUUUGUUGCUAUGUUUGGUUGGUGAGAAUUGGCUACAAGGAGAGUAAAUUAUUGUUACAAAAAACCGAGGCCCUCCCAUUGCAGCUGUUGGGCUUAAUUAAAUUGAGUUUUUAAUAUAUAUAUAACUAAUGCAAAAUACUUACACAAAAGAGGGCUAGCUCAAUUGGUGGCUAGCUCCCUUAUGGAUUCAUAAGGGAAGGGGUUCUAAUCCCUUUCCCUUCAAAACUGAAAACUAUUUUAAUUUUUACCCAAACUCACCCGGGCAGUCCGCCCAGCCGGCCCGCGCAAGCCCGUCCGGACAGCCCGUCCAGUCGGCCCCCGCAAGCCCGUUCGGAUAGCCGGCCCGUUGGAGACCCUUACGUGGCGCCUACGUGGCAUCAAAGAGGCCAUUUUGAACAAUAGUUUGAAAAUGAGCCCGUUUUCAACGUUAAGUUUAAAAAAUGGGCCAUUUUGACCCAAAACUCUAGUUAUCAUCCUAUUCAUGUUUGGUACACACACUUGCAUAGACUUUUUUUUUUUUAUAAGUGAAUGCAGAUUGUAUUAAAAUUUUAAAAAGUAUACACGAUGUAUACCAAGUAACCAAAAAGUAAGAAGGCACUAAUACAAACAAACUAGUAACCACACCCUACAAAAAGCCUAACUUGUCCACAAAAUCUAAAAUCGACAUAGAUCUAUUCUCAAUGUACAAACCCAAUUCCAAAAAAGAUACAAAAAAGAACUUUUAAUUGUUUAGUCCAAACUUUCACAAUUCUUGAAGACUCUUAUUUCUCUCCCACUAAAUGGACCAAAAAGGGUAUAAAGGAACAACUUUUGAAGUCUUUUUCCUUUUUUUUUGCCAACACAAUGGCCUCUCCAACUCAAGAGCAACCCUCUCACUGAAGCAUGCAUCACCCACUAUACAUAAAGUAGAGCUAAAAUCAAUUGCCACAAAAUGCGAACUUUCAAACAAUGAAGGAGAAAAUGAUCACCUAUUUUUUCUUCUGCUUUGCACAUAUAGUAUCUAUUAGGCAUCUUCCAACCCCUCUUUUUGAGCUGAUCUUGAGUUAAAAUCUUGGUCUAAGUUGCUUCCCAAGUAAAAAAGGCUAGCUCUUAUAGGAGUUCAAGAGUUACUGCCUCUUAAUCAAAUUGGUAAGCUAGAUAAGGUGCUCUUAAUAUCUGUCUUCACCUUUUGAGGAAUACUAGCUCUUCCACAAAGCNNNNNNNNNNNNNNNNNNNNNNNNNNNNNNNNNNNNNNNNNNNNNNNNNNNNNNNNNNNNNNNNNNNNNNNNNNNNNNNNNNNNNNNNNNNNNNNNNNNNCUCCAUCCCUUCCCAAACCCUAGAAGACUUGUAAGGAGCAACCAAAGGGAGACCAAAUUAGGUGGUUGGGACUGCACCCACCUUGCAGCUUAGAACCUUAACAAGGCUCCUCCAUAUUUGGGACAUCCCCAACUAGAAUCAACUCACUUUUCUCCAGAUUAAUCUUGAGCCAUGAACAUGCCUUGAACCACAUGAAGAACCAACUCAAGUGCUUUAGAUUUUCCUUACUAGCAUCUCAAAGGAUGAAGAUAUCAUUUGCAAAAAACCAAAUGGGAAACCUCUACUCCCACAUCGUGCCUUCCUUUGACUAUGAAUCCAUCAAUAAACCACCUUCCCUUUCCCUAAAGAGUAAGUUGGAGAGAGUCUUCAUUGCCAAGAUGAACAAAUGAGGAGACAUAGGGUCUCCUUGUCUCAAAUCCCUAGAUCUUUGGAAAAAGCCUGAAGGGGAACCAUUUACCUAGACAGAAAAACGUGUUGUGAGGAUACACCAUCUAAUCCAUCCUAUCUACUUGGAGUCAAAUACCAUUUUUUUCUAGAACUGCAAGCCUAUCAAAAAUUUUUAUUUUCCAAAACUACAAGGACAAACUCCAAUUCAUAUGGUCAUAAACCUUUUCAAUGUCAAACUUGCAUAACAUUUCUCUCAAAUUGUCUUUAAAUCUAGAAUCAAUGGCCUCAUUUGUUAUCAAAACAUCUAAAAUUUGUCUCCCUAUCACAAAGGCAUUCUGAAAAUUUGAGACUAAGGUAUCGACCACCUUUUUAAGUUUGUUUGCUAGAACCUUAGCUAGGAGUUUGUAUAAACUUCCUACCAAGCUAAUAGGUCUAAAGUCCUUUAGAUCUUUUGCCUCCCCUUUCUUAGGCACCAAUACUAAAAACAUUACAUUUGAACUCCUCUCAAAGUACCCUAAGUUAUAGAAUUCUCCGAAAAACUCCAUAACCUCACAUUUCACAAAAUCCUAACAACAUGCCAAAAAGCCAAGGAAAAGCCAUUCGGACUAGGGGCCUUAUCACCACCCAAGCUAGAUAAAGUUGUAAAGACCUCUUUAGAGAAGGGGAUCUCUAAGGCUUCUAAAUUUGCAAACAACAAGGAAUAAAAAAUCAGCUCAUCUAUACUCGACCUCCACUCCCCCGCCUUAGUAAGAACCCUUUGAAAAGAAUUUGCCACCCCUUCUUUAAUGUUGUCUUCCCCGACUAGCAAUUCACCAUUUACCCUUAACUUGACCAAAAAAUGCCUCCUUCGAAUAUUGAUCAUUUUGAGGAAAAAUCCAGGUCUUGUUUGGUAACUGUUUUUAAAAAUAGUUCUAAAAAAUAGUUUUUAAAAAUAGUUUUUGAAAACUGUUUUAUGAUGUUUUGUAGAGUAAAAGUUUGUUUGGGAACCUGAAAUGUUUGUAACAUGUUUUUAAUAUUUUUAAAUAUAUUUAAAAAAUAAUUUUUAUGUCUAGAGUUUUAUUUUUAAUCAUUAUAAAUGUUUAUAUAAUUAUAAUUUAAAACAACUCUCAAAAAACAAGUAAAAAUAACUGAAAACAAUUAAAAGAUAUUAUCUGAAAACACCCUAUUUUAUGUUUUCAGAGAACAAAAAACAAAAAACAGUUUUUGAUUAUCAAACGUGUUUUUUAGUUUUUUUGUUCUGGAAAACAAAAAACUAUUCUAAAAAAUAGUUGCCAGACAAGUACCUAGUCUUUUUGUCCCCUUCUUUUAGUCACAACUCUCUUGAUUUUUGUCUCUAAGAGAUCUCCUUCAUCUUUGCCCAUUUUGUAAACUCAUUCACCACCCCCUUCUAACCUCAUAUUCCUCCACUGUGAGGGCCCUUUCCCUUUCCUUUUCAUCCCACAACCUUAAUUACACCAAAGACCUCGAGUUUUUUUGUGGAAAAAUUAUCGAAAACCUCCUUAUUCCAGGGUCCUAUUUCAAAGCUUUAAGCUUAACCGCUGGAAUGUGACUAAAGGAACCCUGAACACUGUACCCCUCCCACUAGUUCCUGAUAAGAUCUUUGAAGCCUUCCACCUUUAACCACAUAUUUUCAAAUUUGAAUGGUGUCUUUCUUUUCCUUAUCCCUCUACCAUCAAGCAGGAUUGGUGCAUGAUCUAAGGCUGGAUUUGGAAGGGUGCUUUGGAUCAGACCACUGAACUGAUUCUCCCAAUCAUCGAACACAAGAAAAUGAUCCAGCUAUUUAAUCUGCCACACCAAGUAAACAAUCCACCAGACAGAGGGAGAUCUGUACGACACAUCUCCUUGAUAACCUUUGAAAAGUGCUUCAUGGAAACUGAGAAUCUUUGACAGUUCCUCCUUUCCUCCAGGAAUCUCACUACAUUUGAAGUCCCCUCCCACACACCAAAGUUGUUCUAGAGGCCUCUAAUAUCACUCAACUCAUUCCAAAAAUGUUCUCUCACAGCCAAAAUAGGACCAUAAACCCCCGUAAACAUCCAAACAAAAUAUCCUCGUAGUUUCUGAAGGGACAGGAAACUGAAUAGACACGAAACUGGUAGAACUAUUGAGACACAAAUGUCAACUAUUAGCAUUCUAAGGAUGGCCUUUUAGGCAGCAUUUGGUUCACUUUGUAUAGACAUGUAUAUCUUGCAAAUAAAACCGAUAUCUUCAGAUCUAUUGAUUUCAUGUUCCAUUGCAGGCUGAAGUGACACAGAGGUUGAGUAAUGCUAAGGAAGCAGCCAACAAACCUGCAUUGCAAAGUCAUGAGGAUCUUGCACGGAAACUUCAGGUGACUUAUAAUUUGCAAUUUAAACCUAUGGGGUUUUAUGCCUCAGUUUCAUUUCUGCAUGGUACAAAUAUUAAGAUUUAAAUUUAAAUAGAGGAAUUUCUUUUUUGCUUAAUAUGGCAAUACUCAAGUCUGACCAUUAUUUUUGUGCUGAUGAGUCUAAAUUUGUUUAUGAAAUCACAUCUUGCUCUACCUACGCUGAGCUGAUAAAUUAUUUCAUUCUGUAAAUUGUUAAACAUGUUAAGCUUUUCUAGUGAGGAUGUUCAGAUUUCUUAUUUUGAGGGUGAAUCCUGUAUUUAUGAAAGCUGCUACUAAACUAUGAGUCACUUCUGCCCUUCCUAUUUCUCUUCCGUGGAUGUACUCACCUGCAGCUGUUUCUUAUUACCUUCUGAUUGACCAAUUUUGAAUCCAUUAAUCUUGUUGUAAUUUCCUCUUCUAUUUUUUUUCCCCUUCUGGAAAAAAUUUUAAAUUUUCAUUAACAUAUAAAUACCUAAUAAGCAUUAGAUCUUCCUGAAAAGGAUGUGAUCUGGCUAUAUCUUCCAUUAUGGCUACCUUGUUACAAUUUGCUCUACUUAACUGUUCCUGGCUCCGGCAUCACCCAGCAAUAAUUACUUGUUUUCAAAAUCCCAUUAACUCUUUCCUCAUGGUCUCCGUUUCCAACACACUAGAUCUAGUUGCUGAUUAUUGUUAUGAUACCUGAAUAAAUUUGACUUUGCAAAACAUUUCAUUGAAUUUGGAAAUGCUUCUUGCAGUUUUGGUUAAUAAAAUAUUGGAUCCUAGAUUUAGAUUUUGCCACCAUGGAGCAUCUAUUCUUUUAUAUGCCUGUAUGUCUACUUUUGGUUUUGUUUUUGUCCUGAUGGUGUUGAUUUGUGACAGGAGGAGAUGGAGAGAAAUCGCAAGGCAUCAUCAGGUAAUCUUCUGUGCUGGAAUAUUUGUUUUAUAUCAGAGGUGGCAGUUGUAUAUGCUUUAGCCUGUAGUCUUAUCUGUUAUCUUGUUCCACAUUUUGUAUAUGUAUGUGCACUACAGGACCUAUGAAAUGAAACUAGUAGAUAUCUGCGAGCUCACUCAAUAGGGGUUCUUUAGUUGGCAAUCUUCAUAAUUAAAGUCUAUGAUGUAGGACAAUCCUAAGAUAGUUGCCUACACUCAAGGGUAGGUGGGUUAGGGUUUUAUUUUUAGGUGUAAGAAGAGGAAUAAGGAAUAAAUUUUAUGGUAGAGAAAAAUAUAAGAUAAGAAAUAGAGAAAAAGAAAAAAAGAACGAAGAAAAGAUCGAAAACCUUAGAGUCUCAUUAAGGCCUUCUAGGAGUCACCUAAAAGAAAAUCAAUGGAGUCUCACCAUUGAGGGUUGCAACCUUGCAAGGAAAGAAAACAUAAUAUUAUUAAUAUCAAUCAUCCCUUUGAUUUACAUUUAUUAUCCUAUUUAUAGGUUUCUCUAAGAAAUCCAAAGUCUAUUAAGACUCUAGUAACCUAUUAUGAUUCUAAUUCUAAUUCUAAUUAUAACAUUCAAAGUCUACUAUGACUCUAAUAACCUAUCAUGAUUGAAAUUGAAGUUAUAUUAUAACUUAACUAGCUAAUCCUAAUUAGACUCCAACAAAUAUUAAUCCUAAUUUAAUUCUAAGUAAUAUUAAUCCUACUUUAAUUGUAACUAAUACUAAUUCCCUUUCUUGAUAUAUAUAUCUUGGAGAUUCAUCCUCAUCAAUUCCCCCCGACUUGAAAAAAAACUUGACCUUGAGUUUUAGUGAUUUUCCACGAUCAAUUGAAAUUCCAAGCUAUGCCUUCCACCCUUUCUUUCUUCGUCGUCUCUUUCCCAUGGUAAGAUAGGAUCUCAGGAUCUCUUGAACUUGUUCAAUUUCAUGCAAAAUAAAUACUAGACUUUGAAAAUUUUUUUGAUGUUGUACAACAAGUUGAUAAUUCUCCAAAUAAUUAUGUGUCUUCAACAAGCUUGUGGAAAGUUGUUUCCCACACUCUUCUUGUGAAUUGUCUUGUGGAAGAAUAAGAUUUUUGAAUUCCCUAUGUUCAAAAGAAAUUUUAGUAGAUUCUUCAUGUUUUCCACCACUCAUGAUAAUGCUUGGCCUUGGGAAGUCAAGAAUCGAUUCUUCUGAAGCUUCUACAAGUUCCUUGAGCUCUUCUACUGGUUGAUCUAGGAUUAGUUUCAUCACCUCUUGCUUUCUAAAUUCAUCAUUGAUGAUUUUUUCCUCAUUUCUAGUAACUUCGACUUGCUUUUUAGUAAGAGUAUUUGAUGGCUCUUCUAGUUUUAAGGCUGCUAAUUUUUCCUUUGGUUGCUUAUGUGGUGGAAUUUCCUUCAUUGGAUGAAGGAUCUUCUUAUGCCCAUUGCACACAAGUGUGUUAAGUGUUCUCAUAUCCAUCAUUUUGGACCCUUUCAUCAAAAAGUCAUGGUCUUCCAAGCAUAAUAUGGGCGGCUUUCAUCGGCAAAACAUCACACCAUGCUGAUAACUCAAAAUUAUUAUUGAAAUUAAACGUCACUAGACAACGAGAACUCACCAAAAUAGAUGUGUCAUUUACCCAUGCUCUUUGAUAGGGAUUUGGAUGAUCUUCUGUCUUUAUAUUAAGUUUCUCAACAAACUCCUCUGAAGCUAGAUUGGAACAACUACCUCCAUCAAUAAUCAAAGUACAUAGUCUCCCUUGGCAAAGCAACACGAGUAUGGAAGAUGCUAGUACGUCGCCAAUCCUCCUCUUCAUUUAGCCUUGGUAUGUUCACCAAUGACUGCAUAAAAAAGUUGUAGCCGUCAACUAUGUUUGCAUAUGUUGCUCCACUCCUCAAUUACAUAUGCCUUCAUGCCAAGAAUUUUUGCUUUGAUACCAAAAUUGAUGUACGACAACCCUAGGAUUGUUGCCUAGACUUAAGAGUAGGUGGGCUAGGGUUUUAUUUUUAGGGUGUAAGAAGAGGAACAAGGAAUAAAUUUUAUGGUAGAGAAAAAUAUAAGAUAAGAAAUAGAGAAAAAGAAAAAAACAACGAAGGAGUCUCACCUAGAAGAAAAUCAAUGGAAUCUAACCAUUGAGGGUUGCAACCUUGCAAUGAAAGAAAACAUAAUAUUAUUAAUCUCAAUCAUCCCUUUGAUUUACGUUGAUUAGCUUAUUUAUAAGUUUCUCUAAGAAAUCCAAAGUCUAUUAGGAUUCUAAUAACUUAUUAUGAUUCUAAUUCUAAUUAUAACAUCCAAAGUCUAUUAGGACUCUAAUAAUCUAUCAUGAUUUAAAUUCUAAUUUUAUUAUAACUUAACUAACUAAUCCUAAUUAGACUCCAACAAAUAUUAUUCCUAAUUUAAUUCCAAGUAAUACUAAUCCUACUCUAAUUGUAACUAAUUCUAAUUCUAAUUCCCUUUCUUGAUAUAUAUAUCGGAGAUUCAUUCUCAUCACUAUAUCUCAGUUAAUGCUGAUAAUUAUUGCUUGUCCUUGUGAAUGUUCAAUUUUAAUGCCCUUAAAGCUUGGGAUAGGUGGCCUGGCUCAAGUGGUAAAAAGGAUAGGGUGGGGAUGAGAGGAUGUUCUAGGUUUGAUUCAAUGAAUGAAAAAUAAAACAGUCCCUGUCAAAAAAAGAAAACAAAUAAUAAUAAAUAAAGACUAAAGAAAAAAAGAAUGGUUCAUAUUUUAGGUAAGAAUUCUAGUUAUUAGUCCAACCAAUAUGGCAAGUUCAAGUUUUUUUUUGAUGGAUAAAUAGCAAUAUAUUAAAACAAGGCACUUUAGAAAAGUGCCCCAAAGUACAUAGGUAGUUUACAAAGGAUGCCUAAGAGCGCCUCAAAAAAUUACACUUUGCAGGAAAAUCCCCUUGUCUUUUUGGUUCAAAGCCUUAUAAAGAUAUUUGACAAUAAAUUUAUCUUCCUUUGACUUUGUCCAUACCACUUGAUCUUCCACGUCACUACACACCCUCCUCCCUUGCAAUCUUGGAAAAAAACACUCUACAUCAAUCACCACCUAGUCAUUGAGAUGUCUAGAGAAACAAGGAUCCUAAACUCCCUCUCUAGAAUGGUUCCAACAUCUUCCACCCAAGCCUCUUUAGCCAACAAAAUAGCAAAUAAGGAGGGAAAAGAGGUGCACAAAGGAUUGUCUCCACACCACUUGUCCUACCAAAAUCUAACUUUCCUCUCAUUCCCCAUAGAAAAAACCAUAUUGCCGCCCACCAUAUCCCAUUCUCUCCUGAUGGCUUUCAACAAAACUACCCCAAAUCUUUCUCUCACUUCACAAGAAUGCCAGCCAUCCUUUUCUUCCCCAUACUUCCCACAAAUAACUUGCCUCCAAAAGGCCUCCCUAUCUAGUGCCAAACGCAAACUCCACUUGCAUAGGAAGGCCUUAUUAAUCAACACCAAAUUCCUCACUCCUAAACCACCCUUGCAUUUAUUUGAGUAGACAAUUGACUAACUAAAUGAGGCUUUCUCUCAAGAGCCCAACCUCCCUAAAGAAAAUCUCGUUGGAUCUGCUUUAAAUUCAAUUUAACUUUCCUUAGAAUACAAAGCAAAGACAAUAAAUUGGCAUACUAGAAAGAGUACUCUGAAUCAAGGUAUGCCUACCUCCUUUGGAAAUAUAUGGUCUUUUCCAAAGCCUUUCCUCCACACCAUCCCAAAUUUCCACAUCCUUGAAACGAGUACGCAAGGGAAGACCCAAGUAAGAAGAUGGGAGCGCGCUCAACUUGCAACCAAACUCAUGAGCCAACUCUCCUACAUUCUCUAGCCCCCCCAUCAGAAUGAGCUCACUUUUUUCCAAGUAUACUCUCAACCCUGGCAUUACCUCAAACCAUAUAAGUAGCCAACUCAAAGAAGUCAAUUGAUUCAGAGGAGGCUCACAGAAUACUGAAGUGUCAUAUGCAAACAACAAUUGAGAGAUUUCCACUCCCACUCCUCCUCUACCAUUAAAUUGCCACCCUGAUAAGACUCCUCCCUUAGCUCUAUUCAACAAACAACUGAGGGCCCCCAUGACAAUCACAAAAAAGUAAGGGGAUAGAGGAUCCCCCUGCCUUAAGCCCCCCAAGAGCUUUGGAAGAAACCAGUGGGAGUUCUGUUGAUAAGGACAAAGAAGCUCACAAUAGAAAUACACUAGUGGAUCCAACUAAUCCAUUUAGCUCCAAAACCCAUUUUUUCUAGCAACCAAAAUAUGAAAUUCCAAUUUACAUCGUACGCCUUCUUAAUAUCAAGCUUGCAUAGAAUACCACCACCAUCGCCUUUCUGCAUUGAAUCAAUAGUCUCAUUAGCAAUCAAAGAGGCAUCAAGGAUUUGCCUACCCUCCAUAAAAGCAUUUUGGGACCUAGAUACAACCUUUCCCACUAUCUUCUUAAGCCCAUUAGUUAACACUUUAGCUAACAACUUGUAAAGGCUAUCCACCAAGCUUAUAGGCCUAAAAUCCCUAAGAUCUUCAGCUCCCCCUCUCUUAGGAAUUAACACUAGAAAAGAGGCCUUAAUGCUCUUCACAAACCUACCACGUUCAUGAAAGUCCUUAAAAAACCCCAUAACUUCUUACUUCAAAAAAUCCUAAAUGAAUUGCCAAAAAUCCAUAGAGAAGCCAUUGGGUAUGGGAGCUUUAUCCCCACUAAGAUUUGAGAGAGCACCGAAUACCUCUUCCUCGGAAAAAAGGACCUCUAACAUCGCUGCAUCCUCACCUCCUAAGACCCCAACCGACAGCUCACUGCAGUUGGGUCUCCACUCCUUUGAUUCAGACAAAAGAGAGUGGAAGAAGUGAACCACCCCUUCUUUGAUCUCUCUCUCCUCUGCUACCAAAGUCCCAUUGAUCCUGCUCUUCACCAUUGGGUUUCCUCUCUUAUGAGCUGAGGCCAUUUUGUGGAAAAAAACCGGUAUUUCUAUCUCCCUCCCUCAACCAUAACUCCCUAGAUUUUUGCCUCUAAGAGGUUUCUUCCAUCAACACCCACUUAUUAUACUCCUCCAUAGCUUGCUUCCUGAGAUUCUGUUUUCUACAGACAAAGCCCUAUUCCCUUCUAUAGAUCCCAAAACAGCACCUGGUUCAAGGUUGCCUCUUUUCUAGUAGUAGUAUUUCCAAACACAUCUCUGUUGCAAAUCUUUAAAAUAGCCUCAAGCACUUUCAGUUUUUCAGAUAGAAUGAAAUUGAAGGACCCUCUGAAAUGGAGACGCAUCCACCAAAUUCUUAGCAAAUCCUUAAAACCAUUCUCCUUCAACCACAUAUUCUCGAAUUUGAACGGGGAUGGACCUUUCCUUUUAUGCCUCCACCAUGUAACAAAAAUUGGGCCGUGGUCAAAAACAGGUCUGCAGAGAAGACACUAAAGAACCCCACUGAAGUAGCACUCCCAAUCCUCAGAGACUAAGAAUUUUUCUAAUCUUGAUUGAAAUUGAUUGUUCAAUCUUCCCUUCCACAUGAAAGAACCCCCCUGCAAAGGGAGAUCCUGCAGUUCCAAGUCCUCAAUGACUACUGAAAAUCUUCUCAUUGUUGAAGACAACCUAGAAGCUCAUUUUCGCUCUCUCAUGAAUCUGAUUACAUUAAAAUCUCCUCCUAAGCACCAAGGAUCCUGACACAAACCCCCGAUAGUCCCCAACUCCUCCCAAAAAGCUUCUAUGAGCCUCCCAAUAGUAGUGGCCAUACCACCCCAUAAAAACCCAACAGAACCAUUCUCAAUAUUUUUAAAUCGAUUGGAAAUCAAAAAAUCCCUAAUUUCCAUACCAAUCAGCUUUAAUACCCUGUUAUCCCAAAAGACUAACACCCCCCCUACCAUAACCUGAGAAUUGAGAGCACCCCACUCCAAGAACCUGCCCACUCCUAAUGAAUGAACCAAGCUACACGAUAGACUUUAAAACUUAGUUUCCUGAAGACAAGACCAAAUCCGCUCUCUGAGCCGUAAUCACUGAUUUGAUCCUCUCACAUUCCAUGAAAGAAUUCUUAGGUGGUGUUUGGUUUUUUCUUCAAUUCUAAAUAGAAUUUAAAACUAAAUAGUGUUUAAUAGUGUUAAGUAUUAAUUUGUUUGUUUUUGUAAUAUUUUAUUUUUAUUAAGUAUUAAAAGGUAAAGAAAAACCAACAUGUAACUUUUUCUAUUAAGAAGAGCCAAAUAUUUUAGCUUUUUCUAUUCAGUCAAAAAUUUAUAAUAAGUUGUAAAAAAGUAGAAAAAUAAAUAACCUAAAGUUUGAAAGCAAUUUGCUUUCAGCAAAAAGUUAAAAAAGCAAACAUCCUCUUAGUCUCAUUUACCAACAGGAUCCAAACCCCAAUUCUGUCUAGAGAGAACUCUUCCACAGCCUGAACCUCUAAAGUUAAUUGAACAUUCCAACCUUCUAAGCUCCCUUUCAAACCUUUAGGAUCCAAUCUUACUCUUUUUAGAACCAGACAACUGGGCCUUCUGAUCUUUUCUCAUUUUCAAUUUUUUAAGCAAAGCUAAGAUCUUCUCCUCUUAGCCCUUAGUCGGCAUGCUCAGAAAAUUACUGAACUGAGCGAGGCAACUUGAGUUCCAAGCCUCAACAGAUUCUGCCUCAAACCCUAGCCUCCUCAUCUCACUGUACCUUUCCUCUUGACCCUCUUCCUCUACCACUACCAGAGCCCUUUCCUUCCCAGAAGAGAUUGCUGCAGAGCUACCGUCAGCCAAAACCACACUUAGGGGACAAAGGUUUGCUUCCACUUUCAAAAGCUCCACACCUGGGCCACAACCAUUAUCACAGGCCCCUUCUGAAACCCUUUCCUGACAAGAAGGGAAAGGGUGGAAUUGGUGUGACAUCAGAUUCUGUAUUUGAUCUACUGCUUAAACAUGAUUAGAACUUACAACUUUGAGUCCACUCAUCCAUCAUGUCAUGUACGUUCUCCACACUGUAUUUGAUUAGGCUUGUGUAGUUCACAAAAAUUGGCUUUUGUGUGAUUCAAUCUUUGUUUAAUGUCUUCCUGUUGUUGGGUGAUUGAUAAGUCAAGAUAUCAUGUUAGCUCCACUUUUAGAGUAUCAAACACCUUGCAAUGAAAUAGCUUGAGAAGUAUUUCCAGUCCUCAUGUUAUGAGCUAUGAUUUUACUCUUGCAGGCUCCAAGUCUGAUGGAUCUGGGAAGCGGAUGAAAGAAGUUGCCUGUCCCAUUUGCACUGUCCAUUUGCAGGUUUGAAAUUCUUUUAGCUUUGUAGAAUUUUAGGUUUGAAAUUCUUAAAUGUUAAAUGUAAUAUAACAUUUAUUACAUCAAAUGUUAUAAAUGUGGUGGCUGUAAUGCUGAUUAUUGCAGGUCCAAGUUCCCAGCUCAGGAUCUGAGACCAUUGAGUGUGGGGUUUGCCAGCAUCCUUUCCUUGUGAGUGCUCAUUGAUGGCAAACAAUUUCAAAUUAUCAUUGAAGGCAGCCUCAUGUCUCUGUUAAAAUUUUUCAUUAUUUUCUACUGGUUGAUAUUUUGAUAUUUGGUAAAUUUCUUGGUUCUGUGAGCUUUGAUCUGAUAUCAACUCAGUGUGUAUAUGAAGUUAAUUUUACUUUGGAGCCUAUCAAUCAAGGCACCUUUUAUGUAUAAAAUUGAUCAUUAUAUUCACUAAUGGAUUGAUGUGUUUGGUUCAUGGCAUAAGUAGUGGGUGGAUUUCUUGACACGAAAGAAGGAUAUUUAACCCAAAUAGGAAAUAUUUGAGGGAUACUUUGGUUUCUCAGUGGGAGAAUGGAUAUUUGUGAUGUGUUUUGUUACAGGAAAAAGUAAAGCUGCUUGCUUAUCUCAAUUUAUUAUAUUGAAUUGUAAUUAUAUGGUGGUUCCAUCAUGCCUAGCAUGUCUUCCCGCUCUCCCCCUGACUGAUACAUUGAAAAUCAUUAGAAGUGAUUAGCUUAGAUGUUUACUUUGCAAUUGGAGGGACUUAGGAAAAUUUUGAUCUUAAAUCAUAAGAUUUAGUGAAUAAAAAGUGAAGAUGGAAUUAAUUGAAUUUACAUUCACGAAAAUAAUGUCAAAAUAAGAAUAAUCUGUGAUUCCUUUCUGAGAUAGAAGAAACUUGACGUAGAUUCUGCGAAUAGUUUGAAGCUGAAUGUGGUAAAUUAUGCAGGAAUAAGAAUAAUAUUUGAUUCCCAUUUGCUAAAGUUGAAAUUAACGUGGACGAUAAUGUAAAUAGUUUAGAGCUGUAUGUGGCAAAAUUAAGUACUCCACGUAUAUGCUUCCAAUAUUGUUGUUGCUGAUGCUGCUGUUGGGAUACAUUACUCUUACCCCUAUGUUGUAAUGCCAUUCGAGGAAAGUUAUACCUUUAGCUUCAUAAAUAUAGUUGAUAUUAAAGGGUUUUCUUACUUGUGUCCUAAAAAGUGAAAAAAAAAAAAAAAAAAUGGGAAUUAGAAAAAAUGAUUUGCUUUAAGACCUGGAGAAGUCGGGCUGAUCUUUGCCCUACUACAAGUUAGACCUUUGGCCUUGGUGACAUUAAUUAAGCCAACUAAAACCAACCCCAUUGAUGGGUGGUUAAGUGUCCGUUGUCUAGCUGAUUGAUUCUUCCAUUAGGUGGUCCACUUUGAUUGAGGCUUUAAGCUAAUCCGAUAUGUACCCAAAAUUAAUGCUAUCCCACUCCUGUCUACUUGAGCCUUGGGCCACGUUAUUAUGGCUUUUCUAAUAUUGCUCAAGCCAACUGUUUCGCCUAUCUUAACCUGUUUUUGUCGUCUUCAUAGUUCAUACCAAUUGAGUUCAUGGAACGGUUGAAAAGGCCAAUCAAUCAUUUGACUCAAAUUAUUUCCCCUUGGCCUAGGCAAUAAAUCAUAUGGUUGAAAAAGCCAUUCAGGGGACCCAAAUGACCUUCCAGUUGAAAAUUGAAAACUGAAAUCAUGGUAGACAGGUGCACAUUUACUACGGCGUUGCAGAAGUUUCCAUCCACCGCCAAGAACGUGAAUUUAUUUAACGUGGCUUAAUUAAUUGAUGGUGCCGUUUGAGAAAGGGCAUUGAUGUGGAGAUUCGGCCGACACGAAGCGAGUGGAGCGUUGUUCACUGCUGAUGCUGGGUGCUUAGGUCACGGAUGUUAUUGAAAAGGAGAGUCUCCUAACUCACAUUAUCACACCUGCCCUCUUCCCAAACCUCUCUCCCAAUUCCCAACCCAAAUACCCAAUAUGGUGUCCCGUUUUUUACCAAAAUAUUAUUUUUUGAAACAAUUUUCCAAUGUAAACGAACCAAGACCUAUUUUCCAAAUAAAAUUAUUUUGUUUAAUAUGGUGGAUUUUGAAACAAUUUUUUGUUUCCAAAGUCAAUUUUAUUUUUUAUCUAUUCAUUGUAUUAAUAAUUAUUCAUCAAAAUAUUAUUUGAAAAACGCUUAAAAAACAUCUCAAAUUUUAUUUUCAAAAUUCAUCAUGGUUUUAAAAAUAAUUCUUGAAAAGCUAUUUUCAAUCUAAAAUUUAUCAUGCAUAUUUUUAUAGCUAAAAAUCAUAAUUCUUUUUUUUUUUAGGAUAUCCGAUGUAAGCAUAUUUGAGAUUAACUUAGUCGAACAUGAUUCAUCCGGUAUAAUAAUUGGUACAAAAAUUAAAAAUCAAUUUUUUUUUUUAAUGUUAGACAUGAGGACGUAAUAUAUUUUUAUUUUAAAAUUUUGAAAUAUCAGAAAAGAAUAAAAAAUAUUAUUAUAAAAUAUGUUAAAAUAUUAUAUUCCACCUCUCUUAAGUCUUCACCAACAAUCAACUUUUCACAAAAUAUCUCAUUGUGAAUGCCCAAAAUAGUCCACUUUAUUAUUAUUUAUUAUUUUUUAUCUUUUGUGUUUUUAAUUCUCAUAUCGUAUUAAAAUAUGUUGUCGUUUGAAUAGUUGGGAGGUGGCUUCUAUAAUAUUUCGCGUGAGUCGAGGAGAGGGAUAGGGGAAAGUGGUACCUGUGGGCAAUGCCAUUAAACUAUCAUUUCAACCCAAAAUAUAUGACAGGUUGGAUUUUGUCUUUAAAAAACAAUUUUUGAUAAAGUUAUCUAUAAAAUUAAUUAUUCUAUAUAUAUAUAUAUAUAAUUUUAAUUUUAAGAUUAAUAAUUAAAAAGAUUAAGCAUAUUUUUAAAUAUAAAUUUUUUUUACCAUACUAAAAUUUCAUAAUGAUUAAUGAUGUAAUUAAUUGGAGAUUAGAAAUUAGAAUAAUAAUUAGGAUUGAAUUAUGCUUGAUUGUCCAGAAAAUGUUAGUAAUUUUUGUAAGUUAAAACUUAUUUUAUGUAGUGUAUUUUUGGAUUUAUGGAGUUGCAAUUAAAAUACUUGUUUCAUUAUUGAGAUUAAUUUAUUAAAUUUUGAUUUUUUAACUUAAAAAAGUAUUAAGUCCUAACUUUUUAUUUUCAAAAUUAUUUAAAAAUGUUAAUGCCCCUGAAUAUUUAGAUGAAUAUGAAUUAUGUUUUGAAAUUUUAAUUAAUUUUUUAUUGGAAAUUGAUGGUUGUUGAAUUAUUGUAGUUUUAUUGCACAUAAGAAGUUGAAUUUUGAGAAUUUGCAGUAAAUUUAUUUAUAAUGUAAAUUAAAUGAAUUUUAGUGUUGUUUAACUUUAUUUUAUGAACAAAAAAUCUACAAUAAUUUAUAGAAUUUAAUUUCAUUAUGAAUGAAUUAGAAGGCAAAAAAUAUGUGGUAAAAUUUUAGUUGUGGAUUUGAAAUUUUGUAGAUUUUUUUUGGAUUAAAUUAUUGAUAAAUUUACUAUUUUUUAUUAAAUUAAUUUUUAUUCAAAAUGUUCAAAAUUAAAGUAAUUUAACCAGUUUUUAAAAUAGGGGUCAUCCAAAAUUUUUUAAAAUGAAUUUGGUUUUAGUUUGAAUGAGAAAUUAAAUGUGAAUAUUAUAACAAAGUGAAAGAUUCAAAAGCAAAAGGAGAAAGUGACUUUUUUUCAUUAAGACAAAAUUGUCUUAAGAAAAGUGAUAAAUUAAAAAAAAAAAAAAACUAUUUAUUUAUUUUAUUUAAGUAAAACAAACAAAAAAACCACAAAGUAUAACUCUAGACAUCAAUUGAAAGUUACACUUAAAAAAAUAUUAUUGAAAUACAUAUUAUAUUAAACAUUUAAAUAAAAAUCAUAUAAUAACAAAAUCAAUUAUCAAAAUAAACUGAAAUUCAUCUUUAAUUUUUAAUGUUUAGUUUCAUUAAAUUUAUCAUUAGUAGAAACUACCUGAAUGGAAAUACAUAAGUGGUUAAAAACUUCAUAUAUAUAUAUAUUUAAAAUUUUAAUUUAUCCCAUUUUUAAUAUUCCAAUGAUUUUAUCAAUGAAAAGAGAAAAUCAAUCACACACCAUACGUAGGUAUAUGAAAAAAAUUCCCACAUAUUUCCAUAGAUGUAAAAGAACAUGCGUUUAAUGGAUGCAAUUAAAUUUACUAAAUAUGAAAGAAGUUAUCACAAUCUUAUGUGAUAUGGAAGCACUUGCCCUUAGAAGUCUAGUAUUGGCCAAUACCAAAUCAACUAUCUAAUAGAUGACCAUAACUCAAUUGAGAGAGCAAUAUAAGUAGUCUCUAGAAAAUAACAAAUAUCAAAGUACAUCCAACCUAAAACACUCUUUUGCAAUAUUUAAUAUAUAAAAAGAAAUAUAAAAAUACAAAUCUUAUGGUGGAAAUGAGUGUGAGCUAGGUCCAAAUUGAGAUGUGAAUAAUGACUCCACUAUUGCAAGUUACUCCUUCAUGCUCUAGAUUCGAGUCUUCAACAAAUCUAAUCAUGAGUCACUAAUAGCUUUGCAAGUAGUCAUCCCGUUUACUAAUCACACAAGCUAUUGGAUAAGAUUUACUGUUGAGUUAUCAAUAUAGGUGUUAGUGCUGGGAAUCCAAAUUACUUCAUUCCUUAGCCUUGGAUCACGUAGGGCGCAUGCAUCUAUCCAUAGGGUUCUCUAGAUUUAUCAUAGAGAAAACACAUGGCAUUAAAAACCAUUAUAGAAUAAAGAUCUAGAGAUAGAAAAACUCAAACCUAUGAUUUGGAUAUUCCCAAAUCAAAUUUCCUUCCAAUGAAGACUCUAAAUCUGUGGUGGUUGUUGUAGAAGUCAUUUACCCAACAAUCUUCCACCCGAUCUCUCCCUCCAUGGGUCAUGACAUGGGAGAAAUGUGGGCUUCUUUCUCUUUUCUUAAGGAUAGUUAGGGUUCCUUUCUUUAGAAUUUUAGAAAACUAAACUGUAAGCUUGAAGCUUUAACCCCUAAGAUUAUAAAGGCUUCCUCGUGGGCUUAAGUCACUUAAGCCCAAAUUGGGCUUAGGUCACCUAAUCUAUCUCACUUGAGUCUUAAUUAAUUAAUUAGUCCUAAUAAGCUCUAAUCAAUUAAUUAACCCAUUCCAAAAAGUUAGUUUAUAAGAUCUAAUCGUUAUCCACACUUAUGAACUAUAUACCAAAAAUACCCUCAAAGUGUGUGCCACCAUGAAUUAGGAGCUUGAAUAGGGACUAUUGAGACCCAUAGGAAAAUACUGGCUCAUUUAGAAUCCGAUUAUGAAGUUGGUUGACACUCCACUAAACAGAGUCAAGUGCACUUCAAUAUCUUAUGAAAUUACAAUAAGACAAAACUCAGGUCCAUAACCUACUAUCCAUUGCAUGCAAACUUCCUAUGAACUGAUGUUCGUAAUUUAAUGGGAUAAUGUUAUCAACCCAUUAAAAUUAUCUGUCCAAUCUUUAAGUUACAAAUUUACCUAUUAUGCGAUCAACUGACAUGCUCUAUCUCCAAGGAGCAUAUGUCAAAUUCCACUAAAUGAAUUAAUGCAACCAUAUAUUUCAUGAUCACAUGUCCUUUGGAUCACCCAAAGGGACACGCUAUUUCAAUCUUAUGAGAUAUCAUGGUGUCUCUAUUAAGAAUACCUAUUGCCACUAGCCUCCAUCAAUAUCAAUAGUGACCAAAUCUGUAUGGAAUAUUUGACCACUUUAAGAUCUUAUCCAUAAGACAAAGUCUCCUGUUGAUUCAAUAUAAGCUAAAUUUCAUUUCAAGGUUAAGAGUCCAUACAAUAUAGUAGCUUGGUGAAUCAUGACAAUAUGAUAGAUUUACAUCAUGAUUUAUUGUAGGUCUUGUCCAAUAUGUAACUGUAGGACCUCAGGUGCAACCAACUCUCCUAAAAGCAAUUGCUUGUAGGAAAGGCGCAUACCCUAGCCUUAUAGUGCAUUCACCUAAGCGCCCACGACGAACACAAGGGGAGUUGAUGGACGCGGACAACCCUCCAAUCUUCCAAAAUUCCCCCCUCCUCCCAACGACAUCCUUGGGGUUUAAACCCGUGACCUCGACUCUAAUAUCACUUGUAGGACCUCAGAUGCUACCAACUCUCCUAAAAGCAGUUGCUUGUAGGAAAUGUGCAUACCCUAACCUUAUAGUGCAUUCACCCAAGUGCCCACGACGAACACAAGGGGAAUUGAUGGAUGCAGACAACCCUUCGAUCUGCCAACAAUAACAAUACACAUUAGUAUACUCACUAGGGACAACUUAUCUCGAUGACUGAGACAAAUUAUCCCUCUAUUAAGGAAGUAAUGCACUAUGGUCUUUGCUGGAUUGCCUAAAUCCAUGAACCAACUAUAAACAACUUAUCAUCUUGUAAGAAACCCAUGACUUGUACCCUCUGUGAACUCAUGUACAAUGCAAGUGAUAUGAGUUCAAUGCUCAAAUCUGUUGGGAUUAAGUCUCUAAAAUCAAGACAUGAUGUAACAAAGUCAAACUUAACUGUUUUCUUACUAUCCCUUUUAUACAUUGAUAUUAAUUUAAGCAUUCAAUUUAUAUCUCUUAAUUUAUACAUGACUUAAGUGCAUUAAGAGUUGUAUAGAUGAUAUAAGUUAUGAGUUCCUUGUAAAUAGAUAAGUUGUCUAUAGUCAGUUUAUAGAUUUGAGCAAUCUAGUAGAAACUAUAGUACAUUACUUUCUAAUUAGAGGGGUGACUUAUCUUGGCUUUUGGGAUGAGUUUCCCAUUGUGAGUGCACUAGUGUAUGUGAUGCACAUUAAAUAGGACCUAUAGUGAAUUAUAAUGUAAGGCUAUCGAUAAUCAUGAUUCACCAAUUUACCCUAUAAUUGGCCAUUUAGACAACACCAGACGAAUCCCACAUUGGAAAAAUGAGUGACCCAAAGUUCCAAACUUACCCUAUAAUUAGCCAUUUAGACAACACCAGUGAACUUCAUUCAAAGAAUUAUGGAUGGGUAUGACUUUGGGCUUACUUAUUUGGUAGGCUUUAAGAAAUAAGUUAAAAAUUUGUUUGAUCACUUAGGGCUUACUAAUUUGAUGAGCUUUAAGAUAAAUUUAAAACUUAGUUGGAUAUUGGGCUUAUGAACUUGAUAUUCAUAAAUGGGUUUUUGAAAAAAAGAAAAAGAAAAGAAAAGAAAAGUUGAGGUGAAUUGGUUGUGUCGACUCACUAAUAGCGGUUGGACUGUCGGUUUGAUCGGUUUGAUGUCAGUUCAACUCUAUUCUAGCUCAACUAGGUGAACCAAAUCGGAUUAAGGUCCAUUUGAUUGUUUGACUGGUCAAAUUGAUAAGUUCAAUUCGGUUUUUAUAACAUUGGUAAGAACCUAUAUAUCGAGAAUAAAUUGACCCAUGCUGACAUCCCUUAUGAUGAAAAUGCAAUGAACAAAUUGAGAAACUAAACAAUAAAUCUGAGUGUGGUCAGAAGUAAGGCUGAACAUAUGAAUGUGCCCAAAAGUCAAGUUAGCUUGACUACAUCUAUAAGUGGAAUAUAAAAGAAUAAGGGGUUCAACCUUCCUUAAAGAGGAUGAACUAUGACCUCACACUUAGAUGGUGAAAAAGUUAGGACAUUAGGUACCAUUGGUAGAGCAAAGCCCUGGUAUAAUGUAAGACUCGUGACUUGAUAGAUAAGUCUCGGGGUGAGAUUGAAAGUGUACCUUUACAUGAUAGAUAAGUCGAAGAUGUUCAUAUAGAACAUUCAUGUAUAAUGAAGUUUAACAACCCCCUUAAUUGAAUGGAAAGUCAAGGGUUUCUACCCAUGAUCACAAAUAAUAUAGGGGAUUAAAGUAUCCUCAGAAGUGGAAAGAUCCAUUUAGUACUCAAUCUCAACACUCAUCUCAAAUAAUCGUUGCUAGAAAGUCUCCUUAUGCUUUGGAGAUUGAAAGUAAAGGAUAGAGAGAUAUCAUUUAUGGUAUAAGAAUGAUGGAUUAGAGUCUUAGGGCUUGAGAACCUAAAAGAAGAUGUGGGUUUCUACCUAGUAUCUGUACAAGGUGCCAUGAAGGAAAUAAGAAUUAACCUAAGAAAUUGUACGAUUAGAAGUAUCUUAGAAUUUGAGUUGAAAUGCCUGAUUGGAGCUAAUAUAUGUGCUCUCCAAUGACAUAAAUAUGACAUAUUUUAUGUAUUAUAAAAAGUUCAAACAAUCAAACUUAACUUAAAUGCAUAAUAAGACCUUAGUUAUGGAUGUAACUUUUAUUUGGAGCUUAAUUCUAGGUUUAAGGGAUGAAAAGAAUGGUAAGUACAAAAGUCAUUCUUAACCGAGAGAGUAGAAGGGUUUGAAUAUGCAUAAAUGAAAGUCUCCAGACUUGUGAACCAUGAAGAGUCCAAGCAAGGGCAUAAUGAGUAAGUUAUAGGCAUGAAAUACUAGCAAAAAAUGUUAUGAAGUGAGAUAGAGGGCAAACAACCAUAAUGGAGGAAGUUUAAAGCAAAUGCAAUCAAGUUCACAUGGAAAUUUGGAACUCAAAAUCUGGCCACAACAUGUACUCUGAAUUUGAGGUGAAAUUUGGAAUGCCAUUUUUAGGCAUGCUAUAUAUCAUUUCGAAGCUUGGGAAGUAAGGAGUCCAACACUUUAAGCCAUGUGUGAAUCGAAGUUGAAAGGAGGAAGUUAUGUGCAUUGGGAGCAAACUAGCAAUAGGUGAGUUCGAAAUUCAUAAAGAAUUUCAAACUCACAUGUUGGACUUCGAAUUAGCCAUUUUUCCUCCACUUAUGAGUUCGAAAUUGAUUUGAAACUAACCUUAAUUUGAACUAAGCCACUGGUGAUCAAGUUUUUUGUCCCAAAACAUGUUGAAAUGAGUUCCAAAUGCCUCCAUUCAAUUUGACAUGCAUGAUACUUAUUUAGAAUUUUUAAUAAUUUAAGUCUUUUAGAAUAUUUAUGAUUUUUCUUUGUAAUAAGUGGCCAAUGGGAGUGUGCUACAUGUUAGGUUAUUGAAUUUAUUAUAAAAACUUUUUUAGUUCUAGGUUUUAGGAAUAAAAGGAGGAAAAAGAGAAGAUGAUAGAAUGUAGAAAAAGAGAUUGUUCUCUCAAGUUGAAAGUUUUUAAUAAAGUUUUAAGUUUUCUCUUAUUUUCUUUUCUUUUUUCAUAUUGCAUUUUAUUUUCUUAGUAACAAAACAUGAGUUGUGAGAAGAAAUCCUCCACCAUGUUUGGCUAACUUGAUUGAUCCAGAGAUGCUAACAUGAGGGUGAAGAAUCCAAAGAAGAGUAACAAAAAAUAGUAAUGUAUUAAAUGGGUUGAUUUUUUUUUUCACGUUUUAAUUGGUAGGAAUAAUUCCUUUAUGUUAAAUCACCUUAGAUAAAUUACAGAGGAUUCUUAUCAAGAGACUAGUGAUUCUUGGAAAGAUCUUAAUCACUAGUUACAAUAAUUUGAUCCUGUCGUUAUUAAAUCUUAAGGCUAAAUCUACAAAGAUGGAUAUAAACUUUUGAUUGAAUAAAAUUGAAAAUCAAAAUUAACCAUCAUAACUAAUUGGUUUAAGAAUUAUAACAAUGAGAUUAAUGAUUGGUUGGGUUAUGAAUCAUGAAUAUUUAAUCCCAUUUUUGUGAGUUAUAUUAGGGAAUGAUAUGGUAGGUUAUUACUAGUCGAUACUUGUGAUUCUUGGUAACUCUUGAUUAUUAGUUAUCAUGAUCUUCUUUAUCGUUAUCUAUCCCAAAACAAAUCUACAAGGAGUACGAAUGGUUAAAAAGACAAACCUUAAAUCAGUAAUUAAUUUCAUUUAUUUGAUGGUUUUAGGAAUUUGUUUUAUAAAGGAAAAAUUUAAGUUUGGAUGCAAUAUUGGUCUUAAGAUUCAAUUUGAUUACAUAUUAACUUUGGUCUUAAGCCCUAGAUUUAUAAUGCUCUCUCUUUAAGGAUUUGACAUUGGAUUGUGAAACUCUUCGAAACAUUCUUACUUUUAUUUGAUUUAUUUUAUUAAAUAUGUUAGGAAAUAUUUAUUAUUAGUUUAUGCCUACUUAUUUAAAUUAGGUUUUCAUCUUAGCAAGUAAUUAAUCAUUUUAAUCUAAGAACAAAUAUACAUAUUAGAGCUAAUCUUAGAGGAUGACAACCCUGAAUACUACAAAAUCAUGAUAACUCUAUCUUUGGUUUUUCUUGACUAGAGUUAUCAUGUAUUUAAGUUUUAUAAUUUUAUUUACAAUAGAAAUUUGCGAUCAAUGCCCUACGAAGAUAUAUUUGAAGUGACACUGUGUAAAAACUUGAGAAAAUGUUCAUAGGAAAUGAGAAAAUAUAGAAUGUAGGAAGGAAAGGUUGAGAAGAAAAUGAGAAAUGAGGUAUUAAAAGGUUGACGAAAGCCUUUCUAUAGAAGAGCAUUUGAACUUCCUACUUGGAAUGUUUGAAUGUUCCUCACUAAUUUGGAUCUUUCGAACAUUUAAUGUCUAACUUUCAAACAUCUUAUGCAUUUUUUGUACUCUAACUCCCAAUUUCAUUAUUUCAAAAAGUUUAUCAAAUAUUUUUACUUACUUUGAUACCACUUAUAAUUUUAUUCUUGAUUUCCAAAACUAACUAGAGGGAGAGAGGGGAGGGGAUCGUGUGAAUGGAUAGUCUAAACAAUUUAUUCCAAUUUUUGAUAUUCAAAAUAUUUUACCAUUGAAGAUAAAAUCAAUUAUACACCAAGUAUAUUAGAUGACACACCCUUGUGUUGAGGCUACUGGAUUGUCACAUCCUUUUUCUUUGCUAAAAUCUUUUUCAAGAUUGCUCUUGAAAGCUCUAAGAGAUGGAGAUUUUAGGAUGGGGAGAUGAUUGUUUUCUUGUGCAAAAUUUUCAACUUUAGAAAGCCUUUAUUUAUAUCAAAACUCUUAGAGAGUAUUUUGGAGGGAUUUUUUGAAAAUUAAAAUUAUUAAAGAACAACUUAAAAUACGAAAAUGGAUAAAAAAAAGAAGAAGAAAGAAAUGAAAGUGGAGACAUCAGCUUUUGAACCCCUGGCAAGGCAUGUUUGAACAUCUUGUGGAUGUUUGAACACCUAGUAGCAAGAGUUUGAUUGCCCAUGAACAUUUAAAUUAACAUUCCAUGUGUGAACUUCAUGAAGUUUGAACAUAUCUCAUGCAUGAGGUUCAAAUGACCAAUGUGUGAUGUUUGAAUGGACGAUCAAAUGCCCUAUGUGCAACGUUUGAACAUCCCAUGCGUGACAUUUGAAUGUCCUCGCUUCAUUUCGUUUGUUUGGUUUUGUUUUUCGAAACAUUUUUUUUCAUAAUUUCACCUAAUACACAUCUAUUAGCUAUUUCUUGUAUUCUAAAAUAUCAAAAUUAUUUGAUAUGAAUUGAUAAUGAAGCAACUCAAACUCAAUUCUAAUUGAUAAGACAUUCUAGAAUAUUGUAUAUUAGACAAAAUACUACAAUUGAAUAAAAUUGUCAUCCUAAUUUAAUGCAUCAACAACUAAUUUUAAGUAUCGCUCUCUCAGUCUUUAAUUUUCAAAUUGCUGUCUUUUUCUUUGUUCCUGACAAUUUUCAUACUUCAUUAAGGGAAGAAUUUUUUUUCCAUCAUGUACAAAAAAAGUCAUCCAAAUUAAAAGGAAAAAAAAAAAAAAAAUCAUGUAUUGAUUUGUAACUAGAAUAGUUAACUUAUUUAUGAGGAAGUGUGGGAUCCCACUUGGAAUGUCCCAAAGGAGAGUCAGAUCAUGGUCUCUUGCCAGUACAUAAAGAUCUUAAGCAGCAUGACAUUAGAACCAAUUUUUCAACCUCCUCUCAUAGGCUUUUAGCUUAGACAGGGUUUCAAACAAAAAGAGUGGAUGAAAAAUGCUUUCAUCUUCUUCUUCCACUAUUCCACUCCUUGUUUUCGUUUUUAUUUCUUUAUGCAGCACAGAAGCCCUGGUAAAGCUACCGGACAAUGAAAAAGUUCCAGCAGUGAUAGUUUUCGGAGAUUCGAUCGUGGACCCUGGCAAUAACAACAAUCUUGUUACUGUGGCUAAGUGCAAUUUUCCACCCUAUGGGCGGGACUUCAUUGGCGGAAUUCCAACCGGAAGAUUUAGCAAUGGCAAAAUUCCUUCCGACUUCAUUGGUCCGUCCCCAUUCUCCUCUUACUCUUUUCUCCUGCACCCCCUCAUGUCUCCUUCUACAGAUCGAUGAAACACCCUUUUUCUUUUUUGGUAUUUAGGAUUAUUUAUAUUUUGAAGGAGUAAAUAGUAAAUACACAAGACUCCUACAUUAAACUGUUGACAACUGAAACCAAAUUACAUUUCUGUCCCAUUUGUUAAAUUUUCGCAGAAUAAUUCUCGAAUGAUAACAUGUUCCUUUUCUUUUUGGUAUGUUUGGAUUAUUGAAUGUUAGAGAUAUUAAACUAAUCUUUUCUCUCACUUUGAGCAACAGCCGAAGAAUUGGGAAUCAAAAAGUUACUGCCGGCAUACUUAGACCCAACUCUUCAACCUAGUGAUCUCCUCACUGGAGUAAGCUUCGCUUCAGGCGCUUCAGGAUAUGACCCUCUAACACCUAAGAUUCCGGUACAUAAAUUUUCCUUCAAAGAUGAUAUUAAAUUAUUAACCAUUUCCUUACUUUAUAUUUAUAUUUAAUUUUCUUUCCACUGUCUGGUAAAAACAAAAAAAAUCAGUCAGUUUUUUCACUGUCGGAUCAACUAGAAAUGUUCAAAGAGUACAUAGGAAAGCUGAAAGGCAUGGUUGGAGAAGAAAGAACAAACACCAUUCUAAGCAAAAGCCUAUUUUUCGUGGUACAAGGCAGUAAUGACAUUACCUCUACAUAUUUCAACAUACGCAGAGGGCAGUAUGAUUUUGCUUCUUAUGCAGAUCUUCUGGUAAUCUGGGCUUCUUCUUUCUUUAAGGUACUUUCAAUUGCCAUGCUCUUCCAAUUCCAAUUCCUAACAUACAAUUAUUUAAUAAUUAUCUUAUAUAAAGCAAAUUUUAAAGGAAUUGUAUGGAUUGGGGGCACGAAGAAUAGGUGUUUUCAGUGCACCUCCGUUAGGGUGCCUGCCAUCACAGAGAAGCUUAGCAGGAGGGAUACAAAGAGAGUGUGUAGAGAAGUACAACGAAGCAUCCCAGUUAUUCAACACUAAGCUCUCAUCUGGAUUGGAUUCUCUCAACACCAACUUUCCCCUUGCAAAGUUUGUGUAUGUUGAUAUCUACAACCCCUUGCUUGAUAUCAUCCAAAACCCUCAAAAAUCAGGUAAUACCUCUUGUUUUGUUUUGUUCUGUUUUUCGGUUUUCUUUCACGGGUAUGGGAAAAUCUAUUAUCCACUUAAUUGUUUCAGGAUUUGAAGUAGUGAAUAAAGGAUGCUGUGGCACGGGGUUAAUAGAGGUUUCAGUGCUAUGUGACCAAUUGAAUCCGUUUACUUGCAAUGAUGCGACCAAGUAUGUAUUUUGGGACAGCUAUCAUCCUACAGAACGAGCGUACAAGACUAUAAUUGGUGAGAUCUUCCAGGGAUAUGUGGAUAGCUUCUUCUGAUCAGACUCAUUCCUCUUUCAACAACCCAUAUACCAACUGCCUUAAUUAUUUGUACUGGUGAAAUUGAAUGUUAUCCUCCUGUUUUUGUGAUUAUCUUAUGUAUCAAUCCCAAUACAACAUAUUCGAGGGACAAUUGUGUUUUCAACCCAUAUUGGGUUUAUAAUUAAGAUAUGGUCCUCCAAUCAUCCAUAAUUAAUGAUAAGGAUAUGAAAUAGUAAUUGAAAAAAAUACCCAUUUGACUCAUUUUUGUCUUUAUUCUAUUACUUGCCACUAUUAUUUCUUAUUUAACCAUUUUUGGAUUUUUCCUUAUUUUUUUAAACUCUUUUAUAAAUAAUUGAAAAUUUAACAUUAUUUUUUAUUUUUAAAUUAUAAAAAAAAUUAUAUUAAUGAUUCAAAGACUAUUUUGGAAAAUACUUUCUAAAAAAAUAUUAAUUUAAAUAAAUAAAAAUUAUCUUUUGCAUUUAUUUUUAUCUUUUACAUUUUAGAAGUAAAUAAUUUAAUGAUUAAAAUACCAUUUAAAAUAGAUAUAUUCACUAUUUUCAUUUUUUUAUACUAAAAAGUAUUUUAAAGUUUUUUUUUACUAUUAUAAAAUAAAAAGUUUAAUUUUUUUUUUAAUCUUCUUCCUUCCUUAUUUUAAUAACUUUUUGAACAUGAUUUUUAGUAAUAAGUUAUAUGAAAUGUUACAAAUUUGUUUUAAAAUAUUAGUAUUAUUUAUUUGUUCUAACUUGUAAAUUAGGUAUCAUCAAAUAUUAUAUUUUUUCAAAUUUAUACAACAUAUAAUAAAUACUUUUUAAAUACCUCAUAAAAUAUUAUUAAUUUUUUUUUCUAACUUGCAAAUUAGACACAUGGUGUUUAUUAUUUCGAAAAUAAUGUAAACACUCACAUGCAUAUAUAUAUAUAUAUAUAUAUAUAUAUAUAUAUAUAUAUAUAUAUAUAUAUAUAUAUAUAAUAUUAAUCAAGAAGACAAUAUUUUUAAUACUAAUUUACCAACCUUCCAAUAAUUUUGAAAGUGUAAAUUGGGUAAUUGGCCGAAUUAAAGUCUUCAAAAUAUUCAAAAUUUCUCCAUUCCAAAAUGACCUAAUUGCUCUCCACACUAAUCCUAAAUAUUUUUUAAUAAAGAUUUAAAUAUUUAAAAUCAUUAAAAUAAAUAUUUUCUUAUUAAAGCAAUUUUUUCAAAGUAAAAAUCAUGAAAUCUUCAAAACUAUAAUUACAACAAAUAUUUUUAAUUUUAAAACUAAUUUCAUAAUUUAAAUUAAUGAUUUUAAAAAAUAAAAAUGUUAUAAAAAUAAUUUUUGUUUAUUUUUAAUUCCAUUUAAAUAUUAUUUUUUUAAUCUCUAUUGAUAACAAUGAAAUUAUGUUUAUAAAGGCAAAAUAGUAAAAACAUAUAUUUCAUUUAGUUUACUUAUAAUGAACAAUUCAAACAUGAUUGAUUUUAAUUUUAUUUCUCAUGUGUUAAUUUUUGUAGGGAAUGUCAUAAUGACAUAGUUUGGUAGAAAAAAAAAAAAAAACUAUCAAUAAUUGUCUUAAUAUCAAUUUCAAGUUGUUUAAAAAUUGUACAAAACCUAUUACGAGUCUUAUACACCCUUGUACACUUAGCACUUUUCUUUUGUACAGUUAGUGUAAUACCCUUGUACAAUAACACAAAUUUCAUAUUUCUCAUAAGUUAUAUGUUCAUGUAGGUAUAUUAAUCAUAUUUUCAAUGGUUUUGUUAAGAAAAUGGUGGAUGAGUUAUGAUCAAUUUUUUUCCCCAAAUAUCAUUAUUGGGGAAAAUAUUAGAAUUUCCAUGUGAGAGUUAAAUAAAAUGCAUGACAUAGGCGUACAAUCUUUGGGUGACAAGGAAAAUAAAAAAGUGGUUUAAAAUUGAUUAAAAUAAUCUACAAAGGGUAAUCUUGUACAUAUUUGUACAAUUAGUACAUUUUCCUUAUACAGUUAGUGUAAUACCCUUGUACAAUGACACAAAUUUCAUAUCCCUCCUAAGUUAUGUGUCCAUGUCCAUGUAGGAGUAUUUAACCAUAUUUCCAAUGAUUUAGUUGAGAAGAUAGUGGAUGACUUAAUAUCAAAUUUUUUUUCCCCAAAUAUAAUUAUUGGAGGAAUUAAAUAAAGUGCAUGACAUAUAUACAAAAUUAUGAGUGAUAAGAAAAAUAAAGGAAUGACUCAUAAUCUAUUAUAAUCUUUCACAAAUUGUAACCUUGUACGUCUUUGUACACUUAGUACAUUUUCUUUAUACAGUUAGUGUAAUACAAUUGUAUAGUGGCGCAAUAAAUGAAUAAAUAAUUUUUUUUUCAUAUAAAAAAAAUAGUACUAAACAAGGUUUUCAAUUUUCAUUUUUAAAAAUAGUUCUCAUUUUUUAAUUAAACAUAUUUUCAAAAAGAGACAAUAUAGAAAAUAAAAAUUAUUAUUUUUUUUUUAAAAAAAAACUAGAAAAAUAUUUUAAAACCAAACUCAAAUAUAAUCUAUAUAAAUUUUAGUUACUUGUUUUCAUUUAAAAUAAGUAAAUAUACAUUUUAACCCUUUUAUAUAAGAAAAAUUCAAUCUCUACUAUGUAUUGAUAUAAUUCACUUCUAAAAUUAGGUCAUAUGAAAACAUUUUAAUUGAGUACUUAAAAUAAAAACUCUUCAUCCAUCAUCUUUAUUUAUUUAUUCUUAUUUUAAUAAAUUUUCAAUUAAUUCAAAUCAUUAAAAAAAAUUAACUUAUUACUAAAAGUCAUGUUCAACAUUGUCUAUUACCUUUCAAGUAAAAAAUUAGAUAAGUUUGAAAGUCAAUAAAAAAAAAUUAAAUACCACUUUCAAUAAUUUUUAGAUAAAAUUUUAUAUAAUAUAUUUUAUUUGAAAUUUAAUUUCUAAAGUUUAACUAAAAAAUUGUAUUGACAAUUUUCUUGUUGUGAAUCAAAAUACUUUGCAUUAGUCUAUCUAUAUAAGAAAAAUUAUUAAUAUAAUAUUAGAACUUUAUAUCUGAGUUAUUUUUUUCAAUAAAUUUAUCUUUUUAAAACUUUUAAAAUAAAAACAUUAAAAAUUAAAAAGGUAAAAGGAUAUAUAUAUAUAUAUAUAUAUAUAUAUAUAUAUAUAUAUAUAUAUAUAUAUAUAUAUAUAUAUAUAUAUAUAUAUAUAUAUAUAUAUAUAUAUAUAAAAAAAAAGUGAGUGAUAGUCAAUUUUAAAAUUUUUUAAAAAAUGGUGAAUGUAGAAAAUAUAAAAAAUAUAUUACAAAUAGGAGAAAAAUAUAAAUGAAAGGGUAAUAUAAAUUUAAAAUAAAAAAUGAAAAUUAAACUAAAAGAUAAAUACAAAAAAAUAAAAAAUAUUUGGAUGAAAAAUCCCAAAAUUUUUAUCAUUGCUUAUAAUAAGAGCAAAAAGAUUCAAUAUCUUUAAAAAUGAAAAACAAAAAAACAUUAUUGCUUUUUAUUUGACAUAAAAUAGAAAUGUAGAUUGAAAGAAAAAGAAAAAAAAAAAAGUUAGAAAUGAGUAAUACUUAAUAGGGAAUAGAAAAGGGGGAAAAAAAAAUUGAGAUUCACACUCACUUGUGCCUAUGUAAGGGUUAAGGGUAUUUUAGGGAUUAAUGAAAGACAAUAUCCUUCAUCUUAAUUUUCAUACUUUUUUUGGGUCUUAGGCUUAAAUAUGCAUGAUAUAUGGACCAAAUGUUAAUUUUUGGGCCCAACACAAUUCUCCCCAUAUUCAAACACUUGAAGUAAUUUCAUGGGAAGAAAACCAAAUGGAAUGUGUUGUACUGGAAAGGUUGCCUACCUUCUAUUUUGAAUCAUUUGAUCAUCAGCUCUAUUCCUAGAAGAAAUUUUGAAUUAGGGUAAAGAUUUGUUAAAAAAAAAAAAAAAAAAAAAAAGAAGAAGAAAAAACUAUGAUUGGUUCUUCUUCUAUUGCCAAGUUUCAAUAGAAGAAAAUUCCAUCCUAUGGAAUGCUUUUUUUUUGGGCAAUUAAUAAAAAAUAUUUUUGUUUAUUUACCACUCUCCUUGACACUUGUCUUAACUAAUAAUAUGCAUGCAACAAGAGUUACCUCUAGAAAAUAUAUGUCAUAUUGAUGAAAAUGAUGUAAAAUUAAGAAUAUUAGUUCAUUACUUUUUGACAAAAUUGAAAUCCAGCUUGUACAAGGUCUAGAAAGUUGAAAGUGGCAAGUUGAUUACACUAUGUCUGUGCUUCCAAUAUUACCAUUAUCAUUGCCUUUGCUAUUUGUAUCCCUGUAUUGAAAUGUCAUUCAUGAUAAAUUGUACCUAGAUUUAAAAGCUAUAACUUCAUAGAUGUAAAAAAAAAAAUCUCAUUUUAUCACCCUACCUAUUAAAGGACUUUGAGGGGGGCAUGUGAAUGAGAACCGAUUGAAAACCCGUACCACUUGACUAACUGACCCAUUCAUACUCGAUUCAUUAGGGUUGGGGAUGGAUGGAACUAAUCAGAAGUGCAAAUCACACAAGAGAAUCUGAGAAACGGACCGCAACGCAACGACUAGAACUCGUGUCAGAAGAGUUUUGAGCAUGAGCUACCACUCAUGCAACAACAAUGACCCACAACUCUUGAAGGGGCCACCAAUCGCCUGUGAUUUGAUCUUUUUCCCAUUUGUUGAGUCAGGCUAUCACCCCGAUUGAAAUAGAUAUACAUAGCCCCUCUACCUCCUACUCUAGUAGGCUUUUUCUCUCUUUCUCCAACCUUCGAUGAUCCUCCUAUAGGCAAAUCACUGAAGUUGAUUUAUUUAUUUAUUAUUAUUAUUAUUUUUGGCUUUUGGAGAGGGAGGAGAGCUUUCUAAGAAAGGCUUGGGACCUAUGAACAACAAUAAACAUGAUGAAAUGAAGAAGAAUGAACGAGAGGUGUUGGAAAAUGAUGAACUACUUACUUUUGUUUGGUUAACUACUUUAUUGACUUGGGGUUCUUUCUCAUGUUAAAUGAUUGUUAUUAAAUUCACUAAAUAUGAAAGAAGUUGUCAUAGUUUUUAUGUGAUUCAGAUGCAUAUACUCUUAUGGAUCUAAUAUCUCUCAGCAUCGACCAUACAACCUUUUACAUCUAUGACACAACACUUUGAACUCUUUAACAGAUACCUCAAUCCUAUGUGCUAAGGCUAGCGGAUUGUCAUACCCUUCUUCUUGUGUGAAUUUUUUUUCAAGAUUAAACUUUGAAAGUUCUAAGAAUGAAGAUCUAAGGCAGAGAGAUGAGUGUUUUCUUUCUUUAUUUUUCAACUUUAGAAAACCCCAUUUUUUAUACCAAAAUUUUAAGGAAGCAUUUUGAAGAUAUUUUUGGAAACUAAAAUUUAAAAAAAAAAAAAACCACUUAAAAUAUGAAAAUAAAUUGAAAAUAUACAAUUGGAGGCAUCAAUAUUCAAAUGCCUUGCAAAGGAUGUUUGAUGGUCUAUGGAAGUUUGAACAUCUCAUAAGUGAUGUUUGAACAUCUUAGCUCCAAUUUACUUGUUUGACUUGUUUUUUGAUAUGCCCUCCAAAAUUUCACCUAGUAGAUAUUGAUUAACUAUUUCUCAUGCUUUAAUACAUCCAAUGUAUAUGCUUUUCUUAUAUGAAUAGACUUUGAAGUAGUUUAAACUUGAUUCUAACCCAUAAAACCCUUGGAAGUAUGAUAUAUUGGACUCAAUGUUAUAAUGAAACAGAAUUGCUAAUCUAAUCUAAUAUAUCAACAAUCUCCCCCUUUGACAAUUUUGUGACAAAAAAUAGGUUGUAAUGAGACCCCCCUUACUCUUAAGAUCAACCUCAUUAAAUCUUAAGUUAAAACCAUCUUAACCUUCAUGCACUUGAUUGUAAUACUCUUACAAAAAUCCUGUUAUAUGCACAUGCUCAACUAACAAUCAUGUGAAAAACAAUAUGUGGGAAGAAAAUGUAUAAACUGGAGAAAUAUCACAGAAGUAAUAGACUUGAAAAGAACUUGCAUAUUGCACCCAAAUGUGCUUAGAAGCUAAGCCGACUUGACCUAUAAAAUAGUUGGGUUCAAGUCUCCCCAAAAGAAGACAAGCUAUUACCUUGCACUUCGAUGGUGAGAGAGUCAGGACAUCAGGUACCAUGGGUAGAGUGAAGCCUUGCUAUGGUCUCAUACUUGUGACCUAAUAGAUAAGUCUUGGGAUGAGAUUGAAAGUAUACCUUUACAUAAAGAGGCUAAAAUGUAUCCUUAGAGUGUAGUCAAAGAUGUUUGAACAUCAAACUAUAAUGAAAAUAACAACCCCUCGAUCGAAUGAAAGUCAAAGGCUUCCAAUCCAUGAUCAUAAAAAAUAUAGGGGAUCAAAAUAUCCCUAAUAGUGGAAAUUAAAGGUCUAGUUGGUGCUUCAACCCAACACACAUCUCAAAGAAUCUUUAAUAGGAAGUCUCCUAAUUGGUACAACCUACUCAAGUGAUCCUUCCUUAAGCUUAUAUAGGUGAGCAAGAAGUUUUUGGAAACUCUUAGAGUCUUUUACACUAGUGGAAGGUUCUAGAAAGCCUAGAUAUGUCCACACAUCUCUACACUACGAUAAAAGACAAGGGAAGAGUGUGGAGCUAUCUAGAGAGUUCCAGACAAGUAUUGUAAAUACUUGUACAUAACUUUUGUCUAGGAGUUUCUAUAGAAUUUCGGAGAUGUAAGGAACGUUUGUGGAUUCUAGAGAGUUCCUUGAUUGCAUAUAAAUAGGAGGAAACCUCAUUUAGCCAAGGCAACAAGCAAGUUAAGAGUUUCUAGCCUUGUAAAGCAUCUUUGGUGCAAUACAAAACUUCAUUUCCUAAGUGUUGCCUUUGUUAUGCAUUUUGAGCUUCCAAGUCAUAUACCUAACUUAGCCUACCUAGCUAAGUACAAUGGGAAGGUUGACUUAACAACUUCAAGUAUCUUGGGUUGUCUAAGUGAUGCAUAUGAACUUAGGAAAAGUCUAAGUUUGUGAUGUUUUGCUUUGGAUACCAAAAACAAUGGAGAGAGAGAUUAUCUAUGGUAUAAAAUGAUGGAUUGGAGUCUUAAGGUUUAAGGACCUAGACAAAGAUGUGAGUGUUCACUUAGUGCCUCUACAACGUGCCAUGAAAGAAAAACAAGAAAUACUAGAAAAUUAAUAAUUAACUUGAGAAACUAUGCAAUUAAAAGAAUCCUAGAAUUUGAGUUGAAAUGCCUUACAAAGAUGAAUCUAAAGUGAAAUAGUGCAAAAACUUGAAAGAAUGUCAAUUGAAAAUGCGAGGAUAGAAUUUAUAAAGGAAAAAAUGAAUGAGAAAUAGGGUAUUGAAAGGUCGUUGAUGUGCCUUUUUAUAGAGGAGCAUUUGAACAUCUCAUUAGAAAUGUUUGAACAUUUCUCACAAAUUAAGACCUUUGGAACACCCAAUGUCCAAUGUUCAAACGUCCUAUGCAAUUUUUGGUGUUGCGCAUAACUCCCAAUUCAUUAUUUCAAAUAUUCAACAUACCUAUUCUAUGACCAAAACAUAUAAUUUGACAUAAAUUAUGUUCCUUCUUGCAAGAUUAUUGACAAAUACACAAAGGCCAGUUUUCCUUGUCCUAUCUUACCGGUCGUCUUUCCAUUCUUAUCCACAAAAACCAAGGUUAACCACUCAUGUUCCACUAUAUUCUUGACUCAUUCACCUUACAUUUUUUUGAAAAAAAAUGUCUUCUAAACUUUCCAAUCUGGGUAUUAUUUCCAUGAAAGAAAGUUUGGGUAUUAUUCCCAUGAAAGAAUGAAAGACGGUUGAUGGAAGAUUCUACUCUCUAUGGUUCUAUAACUCAAGAAACAUUCAACAAAAAUAAAAUAAAAUAAUUUUUAAAAUUUUAACUUUCUUUAAUUCCACUUGUAAGUUCAUUUUUGAUUUACAAAACUAACUAGAGAUGGAGGGGGGUUGGGGAGAGUGAAUAGGUAGUCCAAACAAUUUAUUUCAAUUUUUAAUAUUUGAAAAAUUUUACCAAUGAAAAGAAAAUCAUUCACCUAUAAAGUUUCCUAAAAUCUUUAUAGAUGUAAAAAGUGUGGGUUGAACAAUUGUAAUUGAAUUCAUUAAAUAAGAAGUCGUAUACAAUUUUCCCUGAUUUGGAUGCACAAACUUCCAAUGGUCUAAUACGACUCAAUACCUAUCAAACCCUUUAAGUCCUUGAUGUAAUACUCCAUGCUCCUUAGCGCUUCAACCUUGUGUUGAGGCUAAUGGAUUGUCACAUCCUUUUUCCUUUUUAAAAUUUCUUUCAAGAUUGCACCAAUUUUUUUUUUAAGAGAUAGAGAUUUAGGACAAGGAGAUGAUUUUUCUCCAUGAGCAUAUUUUUCGACUUUAAAAAAAAUCUAUUUAUAGAAAAACCAUAGGAGAGAAUUUUGGAGGGAUUUUUUGAAAUUAAAAUUACCCAAAAAAAAAAAAAACAAUUUAAAAUAUGAAAAUAAGUAAAAAAAAAUUUAUAUAAAUGGAGGCACCAACAUUCGAACGCCUCACAAGGGAUGUUUGAACAACUUGUGGAUGUUUGAACAACUUGUGGAUGUUUGAACACUCAUUAAUAGGAGUUUGAUCGUCCAUGGACAUUCAAAUGCCCCAUAUCUGAGCUUUGGAUGUCUUAUUCAUGAGGUUUGAAUGACCUAUGUGUGGUGUACGAACGUCCAAUGUACACCGUUCAAACAUCCCAUGCAUGAUGUUCAAAUGUUCUAUGUGCAACAUUCAAACAUCCCAUGCAUGACAUUCAAAUGUCCUUGCUCCAAUUCAGUUGUUUGGUGACAUCUAUUUCUCUAAUUAUAAUAUAUUUCAAGUGUAUACACUUUAUAUAUAAAUUAAUUGUGAAGUAAUUUGAACUCAAUUCUACCUUGUAAGACCCUUGAAAGUAUGAUAUAUUAGAAUAAGUAUAUAAUUGAACAAAAUUAUCAACCAAAGUUAGUAAGUCAACAAUUAAUUUUAGGUACUGUUAUAAGUCCUUUUCAAAUUGAUGUUUUUUUUCUUUAUUAAUAAUUUAUGAUAGUGUGGGACACCACUUGUUAUAUCCAAAAGGAGAGUCUGAGUCUGACUGUCAUACCCCAAAGCUUACUCAAAGGGUAUGACGAUCAUUUCACACCUCAAACCCGGAGGUUCAAAGUGGAAACGACACAAACAUUCAUAUUGUAACUGAAAAUUACCUAUUACCAAAUUCCUAUUUAGAGUAGUAAAAUAAAUAAAUUCUAAAAUUUCUAAAUAUCAACUUUAAAAACUAACACAUUAAUCAAAGUGUUAUUGUCUAAAUAACUCCAAACUCAAAUAAUUUAAAUAAGAAUUAAAAUUUAACAUCUAAACAAUGUCCAAAAUAAAGUUUGAACCAAAAUCCUAACAAAGAAAAAUUUCCUAGCCUAGCUAUUACUCUUCGCUCGAACUAAGAGUACUUGAAAAAUUAUUAACAAAUAGGCAUGAAUUUUAAGCUCAAUAAGGAACAUCAAUACAGUUUCAUGGUUCAAACAUUUUUCAAUUAUAAUUAUAAAUCGAAGAUAUAACAUACAAUUAUUUUCAUAAAAACUUUUGAGUUAAAUAUGCAAAUACAUUCAAAACUUUUCAACAAAACUUUCUCAUAUUCAUUUCAAAACAAUUUCACAUCAAAACCAAAUCUAAUACAUUCAAAAUAUCUUUAUUUUGAUUAUCAAAUAACAAAUGAUGCUCAAUUAAAGGGACUUCACAAAUGAGUAGUUAGUUUCAAAUUUAUUCCAUUUAAGGUGAACAAAACCAAAAAUCAACAAUUAUAACUAGUUGACUAGGGUCAUAAGGUCAACUAUUGAAACCCGUUGACUAGGACCAUAUAAUAUCAAUUAUUAUAACCCGUUGACUAGGGUUAUAGAAAUGUCAACAUUUGUAAUCCAUUGACUAGGGUCAUAGAAACUAGAUUCAAACACUUUAUUUCAUUAAUUCAAAUUUAUAAAACAAAAUAUCAUAUCUCCACAAUUUUCAUUUUUCAUAAACAAAUAAAAUGUUCAAACAUAUUUUCCAUGCAAAACAUAUAUUUGAUCCAUGCAUAGAAAUAAAAAUAUUAUUUUUAUACAUUUCAAAAUACAAUAUAAAAAGAAACUAUUGCCUUUUACAAAACCUGCAUUUAUUUCCCUUAUUUCAAAGAAGUACUGAAAAACAUUGAGUAUUUAAUCUCAAAUAAUUUCGCCUCAAAGAACCUAUUUCAAACCUAACAAAAAAGAAAAAAAAAAGCACAACUAUUAUUAUUAACUAUUUAUCUAAAUUUAUAGGUUUGAGAACCCUAAUAAUUUUCUAUAUUAUGUCACCUAUUAUUUUUAACUUCUUAAUCAAUAAUAAUUUAACAUGUGAGUUUUUAAAUUCUUCUAAAAAUUUGGGUUCUUCCCAAAAUUUAUUCCCUAAAUUCCAUUAAUUUAUUGUUAUUAUUUUUAAAUUAAUUUUAUAAAAAAAUAUAUUGUUUUUCUAUUUAUUGCAUUAAACUAUUAUUAUUACUAAUAUUUCCUUUGUUAGCUCAAAACUAAAUAUUAUUAUUUUUUAUUAAUUUUCAAAUUCAGUACGUAACCAUCCCAUUACCCUCCAAUCUUCAUUGCACGUACAAAGUCCUAAGAAUAAAAUAAUAAGCCUCAUGUUUCUUCUCAUUAUUUAUUAUUAUAAUAAUAUAUUUACAUAUACAAUUUUUUUUAAUGCCUAAGUUAAUACCUUGGCAACACUCGCAUCCUCCAAUUAUUAUUUUUUUUCUUUUUAAUCCCACAACAUUGUAUAUUUACAUAGAAAUUUACUUUUUAAUUUAUUUACACAUACACGCCUCUCAUUAUAUUUAUUUAUAUAUCUUUAUUUUUAUUUUUCACACAAUACAUAUAUCUACACUUUUUUUUUUCCAAUUUAAAGUCUCUACAAAUGAUUUAUUUAUUUAUUUUCUAAAUCUAAAAUUUCUUUUCUUCCAUUGAUCUUUCAUUUAUUUUUUUUUCUAUUCAAUUGAAAUUUUCUAAAUUUUCUAAUUUUCAUCAUAAAUUAAUACACAUUCAUAAAUUUCCAAUCUUUUGAUCUAAAAAUUAAUUUAACAAACCCUAAUAUAAAUUGAGAUAUUCCAAAGAAUAUCUAAAGUGUUUAAAACUAAUUAUCGAAUAUAAAUAUUAAUUUAAAAAUUAAAAUCUUACCUGAAAAAUUGAUCUUUAACCUUAAAUCUCCAAUUCUUCAAUCCUACGCUUUAUAAUAUUUCUGAUCUUCAUGUUAAAAGGUUUUUAAAUAGAGAAGAUAAAUAUUUAAUUUAUACUUAGGAAUUUUAAAUAUGAAAAUACAUUUUUACCCUUAUUAUUUAAUUGUAUAAAUUACAAUUUUACCCCUAAAUUGGUUUGGCCCAUUAUGUUGAUCGUGAUCUCCGGAUCCCACUUGCUUUAUCCAGAAAGACGAUCAUGAUCUGGCCAGUCCAAAAAUAUCUUAAGCAGCUUAUAUAUAAUACACUGAUAUAUGACAUUAGAGCACACAAAACAAUCAAUUGUUCAACCUCUUCUCCCAUAGGCUUUUAGCUUAGACAGGGUUCCAAACCCAAGGAGCGGAUGAAAAUGCUUUCUUCUUCUCCUUCUUCUUCCACUAUUCCACUCUUUGUUUCCGUUUUUAUUAUUUUAUGCAGCACAGAAGCCCUGGUAAAGCUACCAGAUAAUGAAACAGUUCCAGCUCUGAUAGUUUUCGGAGAUUCGAUAGUGGACCCUGGCAAUAACAACGAUCUUGUUAGCGUGGCUAAGUGCAAUUUUCCACCCUAUGGGAGGGACUUCAUUGGGGGAAUUCCGACCGGAAGAUUUAGCAAUGGCAAAAUUCCUUCCGACUUCAUUGGUCCGUCCUAUUCUCCUAGUACUCUGUCCUGCAUGCAAUCAUAUCUCCUUCUACAGAUGAAAUACCUCUUUCCUUGUUUUUUUUUUUUUCCUUAAAUUAGAAAUAUUUAUAUUUUGAAGGAGUAGAUAGUAAAUACACAAAGCUAGUCCCAUUAUACAAUUUUUCUUUGACUUUAAGCAGUGUUGUCUGAAGCCAACUUACAAUUAUGUCGCAUUUAUUCAUUUUUCACAGAAUAAUUCUCCAAUGAUAACAUGUUCCUUUUCCUUUGGAUAUUGUUUGGAUUAUUUAUUAUUAGAGAAAUUUACAAGUCAUUUCUCUCAAUUUGAGCCACAGCCGAAGAAUUGGGAAUCAAAAAGCUAUUGCCGGCAUAUUUAGACCCAGCUCUUCAGCCUAGCGAUCUCCUCACUGGAGUAAGCUUCGCUUCAGGUGCUUCAGGAUAUGACCCUCUAACACCUAAGAUUUCGGUACAUAAAAUUUCCUUCAAAGAGGAUAUUAAUUAACCAUUUCUUUAACUUUAUAUUUAUAUUCAAUUUUGUUUUCAUUUUUUGGGUGAACAAAAUCAGUCGGUUUUUUCACUGUCGGAUCAAUUAGAACAGUUCAAAGAGUAUAUAGGAAAGUUGACAGCCAUGGUUGGAGAACAAAGAACAAACACCAUUUUAAGCAAAAGCCUAUUUUUAGUGGUACAAAGCAGUAACGACAUUGCCACUACAUAUUUCGACAUACGGAAAGUGCAGUAUGAUUUUGCUUCUUAUGCAGAUCUUCUGGUAACCUGGGCUUCUUCUUUCUUUAAGGUAAUUUCAAUUGCCAUGCUCUUCCAUUUCCAAUUCCUAACAUACAAUUCUUCAAUAAUUAUCUUAAAUAAAACAAAUUUUAAAGGAAUUGUAUGGAUUGGGGGCACGAAGAAUAGCUGUUUUCAGUGCACCUCCGUUAGGAUGCCUGCCAUCACAGAGAAGCUUAGCAGCAGGGAUAGAAAGAGAGUGUGUAGAGAAGUACAACGAAGCAUCCAAGUUAUUCAACACUAAGCUCUCAUCUGGAUUGGAUUCUCUCAACACCAACUUUCCCCUUGCAAAGUUUGUGUAUGUUGAUAUUUAUAACCCCUUGCUUGAUAUCAUCCAAAACCCUCAAAAAUCAGGUAAUACUUCUUGUUUUGUUCUGUUUGAUUUUUGGUUUUCUUUCAUGGGUGUGGGAAAAGCUUUCUUCCUCUUAAUUGUUUCAGGAUUUGAAGUAGUGAAUAAAGGAUGCUGUGGCACGGGGCUAAUAGAGGUAGCAGUGCUAUGUAACCAAUUUAAUCCGUUUACUUGUAAUGAUGUUACCAAGUAUGUAUUUUGGGACAGUUAUCAUCCAACUGAACGAUUGUACAAGAUUCUAAUUGGUGAGAUCAUCCAGGAAUACGUGGAUAGCUUCUUCUGAUCAGACUCAUUUCUCUUUCAUCAACAACCCACAUGCCAACCUCAUCCACUGCCUUAAUUAUUUGUAGUGGUGAAAUUGAAUACUAUCCUCCUGUCUUUGUGAUAAUCUUGUGUAUCAAUCCCAGUACAACAUAUUCAAACACCCAAAGUAAUUUCAUGGGAAGAAAACCAAAUGGAAUGUGUUGUAAUGGAAAGGUUGCCUACUUUCUAUUUUGAAUCACCUGAUCAUCAGCUCUAUGCCCAGAAGAAAUUUUGAACCAGGGUACAUAUUUGGUAAACUUGUCAAACUUGCAAGUUUGAGAUCUUAGCUUUGUAAAAUAUUUUUAUGCAGAACCAAUUAAUGUUUUACAUGUGGGGGUUGUAUUGCUGAUAUUAAAUUAUCAUAAUAUCUUAGUCUCCAUCAUUCGUCUUUAUCUUCCUGCUUUCCACCCAGAUUGAUACUUGUUGAAAUGGAAAUAAUUAAUAAUAUAUGCAUGCAACAAGGGCUACCUCUAGAAAAUAUCUGUCAUAUUGAUGAAAAUUAUGUAAAAGCUAUAACUUCAUAAAUGUUAAAAAGUCUCAUGUCCAAUGAUUGUUAUUAGUUGUCACAGUUUUAUGUGAUCUGGAUAUAUACACAUGCUCUUAAGGAUUUAAUAUUGUCAUUAGUACCUAUAUUCACAUCUACGACACAACACCCUGUAUUCCUCAAUGGAUACCUUAGCCCUGUACGAAGGCUAGCGCACUGUCACAUCCUUCUUUUUCAUUGAAAGUUCUAAGAAUGAAGAUCUAAGGUAGAGAGAUGAGUGUUUUCUUUCUUUAUUUUUCUACUUUAGAAAACCUCUUUUUUAUAUCAAAAUUCUAAGGAAGCAUGUUGGAGAGAUUUUUUAAAAUUAAAAUUAUCAAAAAACCACUUAUAAUAUGAAAAUAGAUUGAAAAUAUACAAGUGGAGGCAUCAACGUUCAAAUGCCUUGCAAAUGAUGUUUGAUGGUCUAUGGAAGUUUGAACGGCCCAUGUGUGAUAUUUGAACAUCUUAGCUCCAAUUUACUUGUUUGACUUGUUUUUCAAUAUACCCUCCAAAAUUUCACCUAAUAUAUAUUGAAUAGUUAUUUCUGAUGCUUUAAUACAUCCAAAGUAUAUGCUCUUCUUAUAUGAAUGGACUCUGAAGUAGUUCAAACUUGAUUCUAACCGGUAAAUCUAAUAUAUCAACAAUCUCUCCCUUUAACAAUUUGUGAUAAAACUUAUAGUGAGACUCCCCUAACUCUUAAGAACAACCUCAUUAAAGCUUAAGUUAAACCAUCUUAACCUUUAUGCACUUGAUUGUAAUAUUUUACCUAUCCUUUUUGAGUGCAAGUACACCAAAACUACAAAAAUUUUAUCCAACUAUUUUCUCCUUAUUUUUUUCAUAAAGAAUUUUUUUUAUUUAUAUAAAACUAUAGAUAAAGAUAGAUUGAUUUCAAAAUUCAAAUAAUGAUUUUUAUUAUUUCUUGAAAUUUUAGGAAAAAAUCUUGUCAAACAGUAUGUUUGUUUAUUAAAUAAUAAUAAAUAAAUUAAUUAAUUAAUUUUAAUUUAAUAUGUAGAUUUUUUAUUAUAGAAUAAAUAUAUACAUCGAAUUGUCAUAAGGCUACAAUACUUUUUAAAAUAUAAAUACUUAAAAUUUUAAAAAUUUUGUAUCACUUUUUACCAAUGUUUUAAAAAUCGGACCGGUCAUUGAACCGGAAAAGUUAUCGGUUCACGGUUCACUGGUCGGACUGCCGGUUGAACCGCUAUCGAACCGCUAUCAAACCGGUGACGUCAUAAAUAUAUAUUUUAUUAUUUUAUAUAAUAUAAAAAUUACAAAAUUAAUAAAUUCUAUGUAAAUUUUGAUAGCAUCUACUUUGUUUAUUGAGUAACUUGAGUUUUGUCACAAAAUUUUUUACCUGUAGAAGUCAUCAAUUAUCAUAUAUGAUAUUUAUAACACAAUAUAAGAUGUUAUACAUUCAUAAUGUCAAUAAUAAACUCAAUAUUUAUCAAAUAAUCAAACCAUUACUAUCCUAUAAUAACCAAAUUAUCAAAGAGUUGUUAACUUAACACAUUGUCCAUAACAAAUAAUAUAAAUGUCAACCAUAGGUCCACAACACUUAAAUAAUUACUCAAAAUAAAAACAUAACAUGUCAAUGUUUGAAUAUUCAUGAAGAUUUUUGCAUACUAAUAAAUAUAAAAUUCAUGUCUUCAUUUAUUUUGGAAAUUGGAAUAUGGAGAUUGAAAAUGAGCAUUUGGAAAACCAAAAAAAAAAUUAAAAUAAUUUGAACCGGUUUUUUCCCUCAGAACCGACCGGUUUGUCUGGUUCACCGGUUGGACCGCCGGUUCAAGCGGUCCAAUCCCGGUUCGAUCUUCAUCCGGUCUAAUGACCGGACCGAACCGGAACGAUGAUCGGUUGGCGGUCCAACUGGUCGAACCGGCCGGUUCGGUCCGGUUUUUAAAACCAUGCUUUUUACUAAAUUAUUAUUAUUAUUUUUAUAAUUUUUAUUAAAUAAUUAAAAUUUUAUAAUAUUAACUUUAUUACUUAAAUGUCCAUGUGCAAAACACAUGGAAAUAGUUACAAAUAGAAAAGUGAUCGGAACUAAAAGGAAAAAGGAAUUGAUUGAGUUAUAAUUAUAAUAAUUAAAAAUUUAUGAUAAUGUGGGACCCCACUUGUUAUGUUCAAAAGAAAAGUCUGAUCAUGAUCUGGCCAGUCCAAAAUUAUCUUAAGCAGCUUAUAUAUAUAUGACACUGAUAUGAGACAUUAGAACACACAAAACAAUCAAUUGUUCAACCUCUUCUCCCAUAGGCAUUUAGCUUAGACAGGUUCCAAACCCAAGGAGAGGAUGAAAAUGCUUUCUUCUUCCUCUUCCACUAUUCCACUAUUUGUUUCCGUUUUUAUUAUUUUAUGCAGCACAGAAGCCCUGAUAAAGCUACCAGAUAAUGAAACAGUUCCAGCUUUGCUUGUUUUCGGAGAUUCGAUAGUGGACCCUGGCAAUAACAACGAUCUUGUUACCUUUGCUAAGGGCAAUUUUCCGCCCUAUGGGAGGGACUUCAUUGGCGGAAUUCCAACGGGAAGAUUUAGCAAUGGCAAAAUUCCUGCCGACUUCAUUGGUCGGUUCCCAUUCUCCUAUUACUCUUUCCUCCUGCAUGCCCUCACAUCUCCUACACAUCCAUGAAACACCCCUUUUUUUCGAAUUAUUCAUAUUUUGAAGGAGUAAAUAGUAAAUACACAAAACUCCUACAUUAUACAAUUUUUCUUUACUUUAAACUCCAUUGUUUUUAGCUUUUUAUGAAGUCUUCCACUGCACCCGACUUGCUGGGCCCCCUAAGACAACUGAAACCAAACUACACUUCUGUCCCAUUUGUUGAAUUUUCACAGAAUAAUUCUCGAAUGAUAACACGUUCCUUUUCUUUUGGGUACUACUGUUUGGAUUAUUGAAUGCUAGAGAUAUUAAACUAAUCUUUUCUCUCAAUUUGAGCCACAGCCGAAGAAUUGGGAAUCAAAGAGAUAGUGCCGGCAUACUUAGACCCAACUCUUCAACCUAGUGAUAUCCUCACUGGAGUAAGCUUCGCUUCCGGCGCUUCAGGAUAUGACCCUCUAACAUCUAAGAUUCCGGUACAUAAAUUCUCCUUCAAAGAAGAUAUUGACCAUUUCUUUAACCUUAUAUUUCUAUUCAAUUUUGUUUUCAUUUUUGUGUGAAAAAAAUCAGGCAGUUUAUUCACUGUCGGAUCAAUUAGAAAUGUUCAAGGAGUACACAGGAAAGCUGAAAGCCAUGGUUGGAGAAGAGAGAACAAACACCAUUCUAAGCAAAAGCUUGUUUUUAGUGGUACAAAGCAGUAAUGACAUUGCCUCUACAUAUUUCACCGUUCGGAGAGUGCAGUAUGAUUUUUCUUCUUACGCAGAUCUUCUGGUAACCUGGGCUUCUUCUUUCUUUAAGGUAAUUUCAAUUGCCAUUCUCUUCCAUUUCCAAUUCCUAACAUACAAUUCUUCAAUAAUUAUCUUAAAUAAAACAAUUUUUAAAGGAAUUGUAUGGAUUGGGGGCACGAAGAAUAGCUGUUUUCGGUGCACCUCCGUUAGGGUGCCUGCCAUCACAGAAAAGCAUAGCAGGAGGGAUAGAAAGAGAGUGUGUAGAGAAUUACAAUGAAGCAUGCAAGUUAUUCAACACUAAGCUCUCAUCUGGAUUGGAUUCUCUCAACACCAACUUUCCCCUUGCAAAGUUUGUGUAUAUUGAUAUUUAUAACCCCUUGCUUGAUAUCAUCCAAAACCCUCAAAAAUCAGGUAAUACCUCUUGUUUUGUUUUGUUCUGUUUUUGGGUUUUCUUUCAUGGGUAUUCCCCUAAAUUGUUUCAGGAUUUGAAGUAGCGAAUAAAGGAUGCUGUGGCACGGGGUUAAUAGAGGUUGCAUUGCUAUGUAACCGAUUGAAUCCGUUUACUUGUAAUGAUGUGACCAAGUAUGUAUUUUGGGACAGUUAUCAUCCUACAGAACGAGUGUACAAGAUUCUAAUAGGUAGGAUCAUCCAGGAAUACGUGGGCAGCUUCCUCUGAUCAAACUCAGCUCGCUGAUUUAUGUCCUACCCACAGCCCAUAUGGCAUGCUCCAUCCUCUGCCCUGAUUGUUUGUAAUGGUGAAAUUGAAUGUUAUCCUCUUGUUUUUUUUCUUUUUAUUUGGUAAUAACAGUUUGAUAUGAUUUUCAAACUGUAUCAAAUCCCAAUACAGCAUAUUCAAACACCUAAAGCAAUUUCCUUGGAGGAAAACCAAAUGGAAGGUGUUGUAAUGGAAGGGUUCCCUCUGACUGGAUUGCUACCUGUAAUUUCUCACAAGUUGCAUAUUUUCAAAUAAUGAUGCUUCAUAAAUUCAUAAGUCACUAUUACCAAGUAUUUUUUAUCCUACCUGCACUGGAAAUCACAUAAUUUAUGAGAAAAAUGAUUUAAUUUUUGCUAUCCCAAACGGAUCUCUAAUAGACCUAAUAUCUCAAAAUGCCUGUUAGGUUAAAUCAACUGUAUUUGUAAUGUUUCUCCCAUUUGAAGUGGCAACAAAGGAAGCAAAAAUGGUAAUUCCUCAGUUGGGUUUGAUUUGAAUCAGAAACAAAUCAUGGUUAAGCAUAUAUACUCAAAUUUCAUCUUGGAUUGGAAUAAAUUGUUGACAAUUUGAAACUUUUGAUGAAUGGCUCCAAAUUUGAAGCCCUAUGGCAUUGUUGGAAUAAAUUAAUUAGCUCUAUUUUAGAAGAAAUUUUGAAUUAGGGUAAAGAUUUGUGAUAAAAAAAAUUGAGUGGUCCUUCUUAUAUUGUCAAGUUUGAUCAGAGGCAAUUAAAAAAAGAUAGUUAUGUUUAUUUAUCAAGUUCAUCUACAUUUUUUUUGUUGGCACACCGAUAUGUGUAUACUUUCAAGUCUCAUUAUUUAUAUUUUAGUGUCAUAUGAUGUCAUGUAUCCUUAGUUAACGAUUUAAAUCCCAUCAUAUAUAUUCAAUAGUUUGAAUUUCAUCAUAUAUAUUCAAUAGUUUGAAUUUGGGUUUCGAUAAAUACUACUUGAUAGCUUAGCCUUUUGCUUAUUUACCACUUUCCCUUACCCUCAUUUUAAUUUUAUCCCACAAUAAUUGGAAUUAUCAAACAUUAUAAAAUUUUCGAUAAUAAAAUAGUUAAGCAAUGCUUGAUCCCCUUGAAAACAAAUUUUAGGUAAUUAAAAAUGUUUUGCUUGAGUGGAAGGCUUAUUUGCAAUUUUAAUUUUGUAGCAAGAGCUGGUAAAAAAUUUAAUAGGCCACAAGAAGCAAUUUGCAAGUCAUCAUUUAAACCAAAUGAACUAAGGGAAAAUUGUGUUUUCAACUCAUAUAGGCUUGAUAAUUAAGGUAAAGUCCUCCGACCACCCUUAAUUGAUUACAAGGAUAUGAGAUAGUAAUUGACAAAAAUACCCAUUUGACUUAUUUUUGUCUUUAUUCUACCACUCUUCACAUGCUACUAUUCUUUCUUAUUUAAUCAUUUUUAGAUUUUUCAUUAUUUGUUUAAACUAUUUUAUAAAUAAUUGAAAAAUCAACAUUAUUUUUUAUUUUUAAAUUAUAAAUAAAAAAAAUUAUAUUAAUGAUUCAAAGACUAUUUUGGAAAAUACUUUCUAAAAAAAUAUUAAUUUAAAUAAAUAAAAAUUAUUUUUUAGAUUUAUUUUUAUCUUUUACAUUUUAGAAGUAAAUAAUUUAAUGAUUAAAGCACUGUUUAAAAUAAAUAUAUUCACUAUUUUAAUUUUAUACUAAAAAGUAUUUUAAAGUUUUUUUUUACUAUUAUAAAAUAAAAAGUUUAAUUUUUUUUAAUCUUCUUCCUUCUUUAUUUUAAUAACUUUUUAAACAUGACUUUUAGUAAUAAGUUAUAUGAAAUGUUACAAAUUUGUUUACUAAGGAUUUUUUUUAAUAAUUUGAAUUAAUUGAAAAUUUAUUAAAAUAAGAAAAAGAAAAAGAAAGAAAGAGGAUAGAUAAAGAGUUUUUAUUUUAAGUACUCAAUUAAAAUGCUUUCAUAUGACCUAAUUUUAGAAGUGUAUUAUAUCAAUAGAUAGUAGAGAUUGAAUUUUUCUUAUAUAAAAAUGUUGAAAGAUAUAUUUACUUAUUUUAAAUGAAAACAAGUAGUUAAAAAUUAUAUAGAUUAUAUUUGAGUUUGGUUUUAAAAUAUUUUUCUAGUUUUUAUUUUUUAUUUUUUAUUUUUAUUUUUAAAAUAAUUUUUAUUUUCUAUAUUGUCUCUUUUUGAAAAUAUGUUUAAUUUAAAAAUGAAAACAAUUUUUAAAAAUGAAAAUUGAAAACCUUGUUUAGUACUAUUUUUUAUAUGAAAAAAAAAUCAUUUAUUCAUUUAUUGCGUCGUUGUACAAUUGUAUUACACUAAUUGUACAAGGGAAAUGUAGUAAGUGUACAAAGGUGUACAAGGCUAUCCUUUGCGAAAUAUUACAAUCGAUUAUGAGUCAUUAUUUUAUUUUUCUUAUCACUCACGAAUUGUACAUAUAUAUCAUGCAUUUUAUUUAAUUUCCACACGGAAAUUUCAAUACUUUCCUUAAUAAUGAUAUAUGGGGAAAUUUUUUUUGACCUUAAGUCAUCCACCAUCUUCUCAACUAAACCAUUGGAAAUAUGGUUAAAUAUUCUUACGUGGACAUAUAACUUAGAAGAGAUAUAAAAUUUGUGUCAUUGUAUAAGGGUAUUAUACUAACUAUACAAGAAAAAUAUACUAAUUGUACAAAGGUGUACAAGAUUAUCCUUUGUGAAUGAUUUCAAUCAAUUCUAAAUCACUUUUUUAUUUUCCUUGUCACCCAAGGAUUGUACACCUAUAUCAUGCACUUUAUUUAACUCUCAGAUGAAAAUUUCAAUAUUUUCCUCAAUAAUGAUAUUUGGGGAAAAAAAAAUUGACCAUAAGUCAUUCACCAUUUUGUUAACCAAACCAUUGAAAAUAUGAUUAAUACACCUAUAUGGACAUAUAACUUAGGAGAUAUAUGAAAUUUGUGUCAUUGUACAAGGGUAUUACACUAACUGUACAAGGAAAAAUGUGCCAAGUGUACAAGGGUGUACAAAGCUCCUAAUAAGUUUUGUCCGAUUUUUAAACAAUUUGAGUUUGACAUUAAGACGAUUAUUGAUAGUUUUUUUUUUUUUUUUUUACCAAACUAUGUCAUUAAGACAUUCCCUACAAAAAUUAACACAAAGGAAAUAAAAUUAAAAUCAAUCAUAUUUGAAUUGUUCAUUAUAAGUAAACUAAAUGAAAUAUAUAUUUUUACUAUUUUGCAUUUAUAAACAUAAUUUCAUUGUUAUCAAUAGAGAUUAAAAAAAUCAUAUUUAAAUGGAAUUAAAAAUAAACAAAAAUUAUUUUUAUAUCAUUUUUAUUUUUUAAAAUCAUUAAUUUAAAUUAUGAAAUUAGUUUUAAAAUUUAAAAUAUUUGUUGUAAUUAUAAUUUUGAAGAUUUCAUGAUUUUUAUCUUAUUACUUUGAAAAAAUUGCUUUAAUAAGAAAAUAUUUAUUUUAAUGGUUUUAAAUAUUUAAAUCUUUAUUAAAAAAUAUUUAGGAAUAGUGUGGAAACAAUUAGAUAAUUUUGGAAUGGAGAAAUUUUGAAUAUUUUGAAGACUUUAAUUUGGCCAAUUACCCUAUAUAUAUAUUGUGAGUGUUUACAUUAUUUUUGAAAUAAUAUGAGAAAUAAUAAAUACCAUAUGUCUAAUUUGCAAGUUAGAAAAAAAAAUUAAUAAUAUUUUAUGAGGUAUUUAAAAAGUAUUUAUUAUAUGUUCUAUAAAUUUGAAAAAAAAAUAAUAUUUGAUGAUAUAUAAUUUACAAGUUAAAACAAACAAAUAAUACUAAUAUUUUAUGAGGUGUUUAAAAAUUAUUUAAUAUAUAUGAGAAAUAAUAAAAGUUUGAAAUAAAGAAUAAUAUUUAUUAUAUAUUAUGUAAGUUGAAAAAAAGAAUAAUAUUUGAUGAGGUAUAUAAAAGUUAUUCAUUUCAAAAAUGCAUUUGGCAAUAAUAAUUUUUAACAAUAUUUUAUAUUCAAUUUGAUGAAAAAUGAUUCAACUUGGUUCCACUAUUAAAUAGGUGAGAGAAGGGUAAAAAAGUCAAAGAGAUAAUGAGAAAAGUGAGGUGAUUGAUUAGUUUUUUAUAUUUAAUAAUCAAAGGUAUUUUAGAGAUUUUUUAAAAAAAUAAUAUCCUUCCACUCAAUUUCCACUCUUUCGUUAGCUUUUGGGAUUAAUUACGAGUGAGUACCUUACCUCAAUUACCCAACCUAACUUAGUUGAAACCAUAAUUCUCCCACUGUACAAGGAAAAAUGUGCCAAGUGUACAAGGGUGUACAAAACUCCUAAUAAGUUUUGUCCGAUUUUUAAACAAUUUGAGUUUGACAUUAAGACGAUUAUUGAUAGUUUUUUUUUUUUUUUUUUACCAAAUUAUGUCAUUAAGACAUUCCCUACAAAAAUUAACACAAAGGAAAUAAAAUUAAAAUCAAUCAUAUUUGAAUUGUUCAUUAUAAGUAAACUAAAUGAAAUAUGUAUUUUUACUAUUUUGCAUUUAUAAACAUAAUUUCAUUGUUAUCAAUAGAGAUUAAAAAAAUCAUAUUUAAAUGGAAUUAAAAAUAAACAAAAAUUAUUUUUAUAUCAUUUUUAUUUUUUAAAAUCAUUAAUUUAAAUUAUGAAAUUAGUUUUAAAAUUUAAAAUAUUUGUUGUAAUUAUAAUUUUGAAGAUUUCAUGAUUUUUAUCUUAUUACUUUGAAAAAAUUGCUUUAAUAAGAAAAUAUUUAUUUUAAUGGUUUUAAAUAUUUAAAUCUUUAUUAAAAAAUAUUUAGGAAUAGUGUGGAAACAAUUAGAUAAUUUUGGAAUGGAGAAAUUUUGAAUAUUUUGAAGACUUUAAUUUGGCCAAUUACCCUAUAUAUAUAUUGUGAGUGUUUACAUUAUUUUUGAAAUAAUAUGAGAAAUAAUAAAUACCAUAUGUCUAAUUUGCAAGUUAGAAAAAAAAAUUAAUAAUAUUUUAUGAGGUAUUUAUAAAGUAUUUAUUAUAUGUUCUAUAAAUUUGAAAAAAAAAUAAUAUUUGAUGAUAUAUAAUUUACAAGUUAAAACAAACAAAUAAUACUAAUAUUUUAUGAGGUGUUUAAAAAUUAUUUAAUAUAUAUGAGAAAUAAUAAAAGUUUGAAAUAAAGAAUAAUAUUUAUUAUAUAUUAUGUAAGUUGAAAAAAAGAAUAAUAUUUGAUGAGGUAUAUAAAAGUUAUUUAUUUUAAAAAUGCAUUUGGCAAUAAUAAUUUUUAACCAUAUUUCAUAUUCAAUUUGAUGAAAAAUGAUUCAACUUGGUUCCACUAUUAAAUAGAUGAGAGAAGGGUAAAAGAGUAAAAAAGAGAAUGAAAAAAGUGAGGUAAUUGGUUAGUUUUUUAUCUUUAAUAAUUAAGGGCAUUUUAGGAAUUUUUUUAAAGAUAAUAUUCUUCUCUCAAUUUCUACUUUUUCAUUAGCUUUUGGGUUUAAAUACGAGUGAUAAAGAGGACCAUUACCCAACCUAACUUGGUUGAAAGCAUAAUUCUCCCAUGAACCAAACCCAUUACGUCUUACAACACCUCAUAGCUGCAGGGGUGCAGGGCUCUUAAAUUUUGCUGUCCGUUCCGUACAAUUGGUUCAUUGCGGUUCACUUGGCUUGAAGUGUUUGACCAAUUUGAUGUUUAUCAAAGAUUCAGAGUUUCAGCCCCCCUCUUCUGUUCAGUUGAGUACUGAAAUGACUAUUCCACCAACUCGAUGUGUUUUUUUUUUUUUUUUUUUAGAACAGCGUGUGAAGCUUUAAGCAACCUGUCUGUCUGGCGGUAGGAAAUAAAACUUAAUUUAGGUGGCUUGAUUAAAUCAUGGUGGAUUUUGAGAGAGAUCAUACAUGUGGAGACUGGGGUGGUCACCGGACUGAAGAGCCCUGAUCGCUGCAGCUCACUGACAAGAAUUAAAGAUCGGUAGUCACCUUACAACAAGAGUCCCCCAUGUCACAUGAAUUGUCACACCUGCCCUAUAUAUGUAUAUAAAUAUAUGGCUUAGACAGGCUUCCGAACAGAGGGUUGAAAAUGCUUUCAUAUUCUUCUUCCGUCAUUCCAUUCUUUGUUUCCGUUUUUAUCAGUUUAUGCAGCACAGGAGCCCUGGUAAAGCUACCGGAGAAUGGAACAAUUCCGGCUGUGAUAGUUUUCGGGGAUUCGAUCGUGGACGCAGGCAAUAACAACAAUCUUGUUACUGUGGCUAAGUCCAAUUAUCCACCCUAUGGGAGGGACUUCAGUGGAGGAAUACCAACUGGAAGAUUUAGCAAUGGCAAAAUUCCCUCCGACAUCAUUGGUUGUAACUCCCAUUCUUCUACUCUUUCCAGCAUUAUGCAUGCCCUCUUUUCUUUUCCUAUAGCUCAAAUACCUCUUUACUUUAUACCAUGUUGUCUUCGUAGGGUCUUCCAACGCACCCGAUGGACCUACUGGGUCCCCAAAGACAACGGAAACCUAGUUUACACUUCUAUCCCAUUUAUUCUAUAUUGAAAAAAAACAAAGUUCCCAAAUGUUGUAAAAAAAAAAAAAAACUCAAUUUUCACAGAUAAUUCUUGAAUGAUAAUACGUUCCUUUCCUUCUGGAUUAUUUAUUGUUGGAGAAAUUAACUAGUGUUUUCUCUCAAAUUGAGCUUCAGCUGAACUAUUGGGAAUCAAAAAGCUGUUGCCGGCAUAUUUAGACCCAACUCUUCAACCUAGUGAUCUCCUCACUGGAGUAAGCUUCGCUUCAGGCGCUUCGGGAUAUGACCCUCUAACAUCUAAGAUUCCGGUACAUAAAUUUUCCUUCAAAGAAGAUAUUGACCAUUUCUUUAACCUUAUAUUUCUAUUCAAUUUUGUUUUCAUUUUUGUGUAAAAUCAGUCAGUUUUUUCACUGUCGGAUCAAUUAGAAAUGUUCAAGGAGUACAUAGGAAAGCUGAAAGCCAUGGUUGGAGAAGAAAGAACAAACACCAUUCUAAGCAAAAGCUUGUUUUUAGUGGUACACAGUAGUAAUGACAUUACCUCUACAUAUUUCACCGUUCGGAAAGAGCAGUAUGAUUUUGCUUCUUACGCAGAUAUUCUGGUAACCUUGGCGUCUUCUUUCUUAAAGGUAAUUUCAAUUGCCAUGCUCUUCCAUUUCCAUUUCCAUUUCCUAAUAUUCAAUUAUUUAACAAUUGUCUGGUAUAAAACAAAAUUUAAAGGAAC